UUUGUGUUCGUUUUUUGCAGCUUUUAUGAAUUUAGGAUUUAACAAGGUUCGAGAAUACUUUUACAUCUUCUCAAGUCAAGGUCAAAACUCCAACAUGAAUCAGAAGCCAUUCUCGACUGAAGAGAGGAGGCGUCGAUCUGCCAAGAUCACUGAGCUGAAGAAACAAACAAAAUGCAGAAAGUGCGGCCGGAAGGGGCACUAGGAGCGAGAAUGCUCGAAUUUCAGGAAGCACAGGUUCUUCGAUCCAGCAACGGGCAGAAGCAUAGGUGCAAAAAAUUGCAAAACCAACGCCGCAGUAACAGAAGAUUGCGAUGAAGAUGAUUCCGUGGCCUUCAUGGCCCAUGUCAACGAGGAUGUCAAUGACGGCACAGAAUCAUGCUACAUGGAUAGAAGAGCAAUAGACCACAUGAUCGACCAUCUGGAUUGAAUUUGCCUCAUUCAAACCAAUACCACAAGGAUAAUGGCCUGUUAUGAUCGCGGACAACAGGCGUCUUUGGGUAUGAGGCAUUGAUCGAAUCAAUACCCGAUACAAGAUCAACGAUGCCUGGAAGCCCCAAUGCAUAGAACGGGUUCUGUAUGUCUCCGAAUUAAGAUAGAACUUUUUUCGAUUGGACAAGCAGUCGACAAAGGUAUUGUAACAACCUACAAAAGGCGCUACCUCACAAGCGACAAAGGAUGCAAAAAGGUUGUUCUUGCUGGUUUCUAUGUCGACAAAUUAUAUAAACUGAAACUGCGAAUUGUUCGCCCAGUCGCCCAAGCCAACAUUGCCUUGGCACACACCAUCAGAAAUAAUCUCGAAUUUAGAAAGUCACCAAGUAGAUCGAACAAAGCGCCAACAAGGAAGCUGGAUUUAUAGCAUCAACAUUUUGGGCAUGUGCACAACGCGAUGAUCGUGCACAUGGACACCCACGGAAUCGUCCAUGGGAUCGAUUUGCAAAGUAAUACAGUGCCGCAUGGAUCCUUUGAAGGCUGUGCCAUCGGGAAGAGCGUCCGACUGACUUUUUCAAAACAACAAUCCUCGUCGCAAGCUGAAACACUAGGAUCAUUGUUCCACAACGAUGUCUGCAACCCCAUGCAUCACGAGUCUUUUGAAAAGGCACGGUAUUACGUUUCAUUCAAGGAUAACUACUCGGGCUACCAAAUUGUGCAUUGCACUCGCCACAAGUCCAAUGUCUUAUAGAAGUUCAAAAAACUCUGCAAUUCUGUCUCUCGCAAACCAACAACAGAAUCUAGAUUCUGCGAAGUAACCAAAGAGAGAAAUACGUGGGCAUGGAGUUCACCAGUUUUUUGAAAAAAUCUAGCAUUCGACACAAACUCACGAGCCCCUAUUGUUUAAAACAAAAUGAUAGCAUGGAAAGGGAAAAUCGCGCCCUCGUCAAAUGCGUGCAAACUAUGUUACAUUCAAAAAAUCUCAACCUGUAGUUUUAGGGGGAAGCGGUACAAAUUGCCACGUAUAUACUAAAUCAUAUUGUAUCACGCCUAGCUUUCUCCCCCCGGUGGACAAACGGACACUCCGUCCAAUUGUGGAUCCUCCCCCUCAAACAUCGACUCACCUUGAAUUCAAACAUGCAGAUCGCGAUGCCUAGCUUUUUCACCCGAGUGGGCAAACGGGCACUCCAUCUAAUCAAGGCUCCUUCCCGUCAUGCAUCACCUCACCUUGAAUUCAAACAUCCAAAACUAAUCGCACAUGUAUGUGUCCACCACCGGCCACGCCUCUACGUCCUCGUUGUUCGAUAGCGAAAACUUGCUGAACAACGCAUCGGAAAAUGUCGGUGACCCCAUCGACAAUCCCCCGGCUCGCAGCGGCAACGCCGGUCCCAAGCUCAACCCUCGCAGGUUUGCUCGACCCCCUCCCUUCCCGCCUCCUCAAAGAAGCUCCCCUUCUCGCUCCCCGCCUCAAUUAGUGACUCCUCAUCUGUUAUCGAAAACCUCAAAAACUCACUCCGUAACACCAGCGAGCUGGACGGGCUCAAAAAGAAAUUAUUGAAGACAUGCAACCUUGAGCUCUAACCACCCCUAAAGCUGUGGCUCCUCUAAUACACCCCAUCCGAUGUGCCAACUACAAGCACCUCCGCAUCCUGCAAACGUGCACUACAAGAAGAAGAUCCCAAAACUCAGACUCGUCUAAAACGCGCAGUAUACGUCACCGGUAAGCCCUCCGCUGUCUCCGUCGGGGUUGCCUCCGCCGUCGCCCAGGUCAGCAGAGGAAUAGGGAAAAAUUGCGGGGUCAUUUGUGAAGAGUGCAAUCUGGGAAAAAUUGCGGGAUCAUUUGCGAGCAGGUCGAUGUGAAGAGUGCAAUCUGGGAUGUCGCUGCAAGCAAUGCCACAGCAAGCGGUGCAGGCUCGAAGGCUGGGUGGACACCAGCAGUCGUCGGCGAUGCCAACACAUCGGCGGCAUUUGGAUUGUUAGAACUCAAUGCCAACGCUGUCAAAACUAAGCGCAAGAGAGCAUUGGAGGCUGUACUCAGGGAUGCAUCUGGGGUCAGCAUAGACGUCGCCAGCGGGAGUGCAUUCAAAAGUUGAUGAUGGAGAUUUGAGGUGCACGUCCGGCAUCGGCUGCGUAGUGGCUGCAACAACAGUACACGACGGCAUCGUCGCUGCUGCGUUGGUGCUCAUAGAGCAUGCCCAGGAUGAUGGGAUCACAAGGAGCGAUGGCAGGUGGAGGAGAACCAGGACGGGGAGGCGAUGGUGCAGCAGGUGGAGAGCGAGCAAUUCAGGGGGCAAAGCCAGACCUAGACUAGGUGAACGACCCGUCUGUCGUGCAUUGUUUUGACUAAGCAAAAUUUGGUACUCAUUUCAACUCUAUACACAAUUCUCACAUAAUAACAAAUAUGAAACUCAGAUUCCGAAUUAAGGUCUUCAAACCCUAAACUACAAAAAAUGAAACACAUAUUUUUGAAAAACAAAAAUAUUUUUAUAGCUCUUUAGGACAAUAUAACUCUUGGCAAAAUUCCAGAACGGAAAAAACUGUGAUACAUUGAGAGAUAUUUAGGAUCAAAAAUCUCUAGGACACUCUUGUAACCCUAAAUCCUAAACCUAGUGAUGCUAAAAAACCAGGGACACCUUAAACCCUAAACCCUAAAAAUAUUGAUGCUAAAAAAUUGGAAACAUCAUUGUAACCCUAAAUCCUAAAAAUAUGGAUGCUCAAAAACCGGGACAUCCUUGUAACCCUAAACCCUAAACCUUGAUGAAAUUUGGUUUAUAGCCAUCUACAAGUUCUAUAUAUGUUAUAGAUAAGUUAUAGAUGGCUAUAAACCAAAUUUCAUCUAUACAUAACUCAUCCAUACAAAGUCUAAACAAUAAGUGUCAUGUUAUUUUGGAAUACUCAUAUAUAGUCCUACAGUGUAUCAAAAUUAAUAAUGCCAAAGUCAACUUGCUACAAAAGACAAUCCUAAAUCCACAAGAAAAGUCAACUUCUAUACAUCUCAAAAAGUAAGCAUUUGUAGAAAAAUCUAAGACCACUAGUAGAUUCUUCAUGUUUUAAAUAAAGAAGGUAUGUAUACUUAAAUUUUGAAAAUAAUGAGUUCUUUAAACCAAAGAUUCCAAAGUCAAAUCCUUGAUAUAUUCUAAAUAGUAUAAGUAGAAGUAAAUUUUAUUUCACCAUUGAAAUCACAACUCUCAAAAAUGGAGAGAGAGAGAGAGUAGAUUACUUUUAAAUUCUAAAUUCUAAAAAUAUAAGAAUUUACCAACCAUAAAAUCUAUUAUUAAAGCAACUAUAUCAUCAAAAUUAUAUACUUUUCAAAAAAACUAAAUACACUAUUAGCUUUGCAAUAUUUUAAAAUAGUGAAGUAAGUCAAUUCAAAAUAUUGAAAUUCUUAAAAAAUAAAAAAAUCAAUUUUAUCUUUAAAAGUCAAAAUGUCUAUAUCUACCAAAUAAAAAAGACAUAAGUAAAUUUAUUGCACCAUUAGAAACACAACCCUCGAAAAUAGAGGGAAGAUAGCUCAAUUCAAAAUUCCAAAAAAAAAUAUGCCAAUUUUUUUUAAAUACACAUAUAAUCCUAAUUCUAAACCUAGUCUCCAUUGACAUAACCUUCUACUAUAAGUCAAUAUGAAUUCUGAAGAAACCUAACUCAUUAUAUUUUGGUAAGAAGUUGUGGUCUCUUUUGCAAGCUAUCUUGAUUAAAGUUGACCUUCCACAACACUUUAGAAUAGCUUUUGUGAAAUUAAUGUUGUUAUUUGUGCAUAAACAUUUUCUCCAUAUGGGUUUGAGGUCUUCCUAUCUACCAUUAAUUCUGAGAGUAGCACAAAGGACAUUUAGGUAGGUCUUUAGUACAUAUAUUAGCAGUUUUUCGUGAUUAAUUCAUGUUUAUAUUGCUACUCAGGAUAUGAAAAGUUUUUGAAUGGUAGGAUAAACAUGAAUUCUUUGAAGGAGAUUGUUUCUAGAUGAAUCGAUAAAGUUUAAGAGCGAGGUCCAAAUUUUCAGUUAUUGAUUAUGCAGAUGUGCCUACAAAGGAUUGGAGAAGCUUUCGAGGAAGUGUGCCAAAUACCUACUUUCCUGGUGAGCCGUCUGUUGUCUCUUCAUGCGUAGAGCUGCUUGGGUUUCCGAUUUGAACUGGAAGCAGCAGAUGUGUUCUGUAAUUAUGCCUUUAGAAGAUCUAGGAAGCCUAAGGACUACAUUUUACUGCAAAGGAAUGGACAUUAUUGUUAACGGAUGGCAAAAGUAUGAAAGUGCGCAGAAUGAGCCUUUAGAGCAUUGAUGUUCAGUAAUUGAUGUGUGUUCAUACAUUCUUUUAUUAGUGAUUCACUGCUGGAUACAAAAAUGCUUCACAAUUGUCCCUCGUAUUGUGGGACAAUUGCAGAUCGGAGCUAAAGUUACUCCGCCAUUGAGACGUUGAUCAAGUGUCUAUCACUGACAGCAGAUUUGAUAAUCGUCAAAGCUCUCAAGUAUUCACAAUCUGAUAUUUAUUUUAGCAAGUGUGACAAGCCUUGAUAAGGAAAUAUGAUGCAAGUACUGAGGUGGCUAAUGUUGCCUUGAAUAUCUGUUUACAUGUACAAUGAACAAUUUUUGGCAUAAAAAGUUGUAAGAUAAACCUACACAGAAAUUUCAUAAGAUUAUUGCUCCUUGCAAUCUGCUCCAAAACGCCCUUGGUCCUGGCCUCAGCUAAUGAUGCUCAAUGACUUUAAUUCCUUCAGAGAGGGUCGGUUGCACAUGACUUCAGAAAAUGCGUCUGGAAUCUGCUAAGAAAAUCUGAUGUACGCAGUGCAGAACUUCGUGUAGCUCCACCAACCCAUCUAAAUAACUCGAUCCAGAGACUCACAGGCUUGUCUGUGCCUGCACGUGAGGCUUGCUACCUCCAGUGCAAAUCUAGAAAUCAUAAACCAAGUCCUUUACUUUCUACAAUAGUUCUUCCGUCCCAGUGCACUGCAGGAUAGCCACUUCGCAUCGAGUGAUGACUCUUCCAGUACCUUUUCCAUGAUAGGUGAAAAUGGAGGGAGUGGAUUGAGGGAAGCUGCAUUCACACUACUCGUUUGUGUGCGUCUUGCAGCGGGUUUAGAAAACAAAUUCAUAAGUAAAUCUGUAGAUUAGAUGAGUUCUCAAGACUCCCAUUGCCUGCCAUUCAGCUAAAAUCAAGACCCAAGAAAUAAGAGUUUUCUUACCAUCAAAGCCGCAAUCGAAAUGCUCAUUGGAUUUCUAGGGUCUUUCAAAACGACACGCAAUUUCAACCAAGAACUAGCGCUUAACUGUAGGAGCUCCCUUGGAAGUGAAAAUAUUGUGCUUUGAGAGAAUCCACACGAACUAUGUCUGAAGCAUUGGAGCAACAAAGAAGACAGGGCUCUAGAUCCAAAGAUUGCCCUCCCUCACGACUUCAAGACUCUUCAAUUGGGGCAAGUCAUACAUAUACAAUAGAAACUGAAAGCGGUCGUCAAUUUGUCCUUUCUUAGGGGAGUUUGCAAAACGAUGCCGUACAUGACGCCUGCUCUAUGAAGCGCUACUUCCUUGCCUUAGAUCAACAUCGAUUUCAAUUUCAGCAACGGCUCUACAUUACUAAUGUGAAAGUGUCCCGUGUUCUUGAGCUUUGGGUGCGCUACUGACAGGAGUAGUAUGUAAAAAAGAAAGACUUAUUGGUAAGCUUAGUCACCUAUCUCAACUUGUUAAGGACACUCUUGCGCUCCUCAUCACUUCCUCCAUAUUUGAUUUCUGGACAUAACACAUCUAACAUUCGGAGGUUCUUGCACUGUCUCAAGUAUGGCAUGCACACCAGUAUCGCAAUUCCUCACUGAAGAGGUGUGAUGUUUAAUUCUGACAAGAAAUACUCACCAAUGGAGUACACAAUCUCCACUAUUUUACAUACAAUUGCACAUAUCCAGGUGACGUUCACAACACAAACUAGGAAACUUCUGCUCACAGAUUCGAAAUUAACCAAUGAAUCAGAUCAAAGGCAGCCUCAACACUAUUGAAUUGGUGUUAUAUAAUCGGGACAAAUUUUAUACAGUACUGGCAAGAGCAUCACAUACACACAGGAUUACAACAGAAAUCAUCUGUGGUUUACGCACACAGAAAGUUUCUCAUCUUGAUCACGCUACUCAACAUCUAAGCCCUGUCCAUUUCCUUACUAAUAGCAUCUAGGAUUGACAUCUAAACACACAGAUAAAACUAUGUACUUUAACUUUCAAAGAAUUUAACAUACCAACUCGUUGCAAAUCCGUCACAUAACAUCAAAGUAACUCAGUUUUAAUGUUCACAUUUUAAUGUUCAUGCUGCAAUGCUAAAUCUUCUACAAAGCAACAUGCUAUCAACCUCUAGAGGGUGUUACGUUUCUGUAUAACCAUCCAACAUGUCAUUUCGUAAAGUGGUCCAUAGCGGAUCAAUUAACGGUGACGAAUGCUUACUUUCAACAAGAGCAGCGAGUGUACUUCGGUCCUGUUCCCCAGCUUCUUGAACCAGGGUAUUUAAUGCUCCCCACCAUCUUUCCCAUACCAAGCCAGUUGCAGGCAACACACCUGAUCGUUGCAACGCGUCUGUCUUAGAACUACCAGCAGCUACAGACGCCACUGCCGCAGUUCGAUUUCCGAAUUUUUUCACGCCAACUAUUUGUAUACCGUACUUACCAAUGGCCUCUUUUGCAAUUGCUCUCUUGCCAUCCCAACUACCCUUCAACAGAUCGACCAUUGCUCCGAAGAAGAUUGCUAUCAACAACAAUAGUUGACCAAUUACUCCCAUAAGUGGCACCACUAAUAUCACUACAGCUGAGUAAGUCAUCAUAGCCACACACACCAUAAACAACGGAAGAGGCUUAGUAAAGCCGGUUUCUAUUAAUUCCCUUUGCAACAGUCUCUGAAUAGCAUCCUCGCUGCCCCGUAACACGCAGAGUGUAUCUGGUUCAUCAUUCAGCAGUAUCAAAGAGUCUCCAGGAGGCGAAUCUUGUGCUGCUUUCGUGCGAAUGAACUCAUAAUUUCUCAAUCGAAGUAAAACUCCCAGCGCGGCGUUAAAAAACAUGCCAGUGCCCACCAUCAAAAGGGAGAGCCAUUCAUGAUAUUGCGCAUCCAGCAAUAACACUAGAGCACAAACUACUAUUGCUACCACAUUCAGCAAAGCCCCUCGCUCGUCUGAAACAGCCACCUCACCGUUAACACUUUCCCCUAUGUUUGCCCAGAUAACAUAUGUCGGUCGAGCAGAAUCUCUUCCUACUUUCGUUUGGGCAUCUGCUCGUUUCCUGCCUUGUGUCACAAGCUCAAACACCAAAGCCUCUCCCACAGCACCGCGGACAGGCAGACUUGUUCCUGAUCUCAGACCAACAUAGGUGUUCCUAGAACUGACCUUCAAACGGAUCAGCUCUAACAUCGACCUAGAUUCGCCGGCACCUGUUAAAACUCGUGCUGGCCACCACUCAAUGCAGGUUACAACUGCGUAAGCAAGCCCCAAGGUCCCUGAAGUCACAUAGGCGUUUAAAUAAGGCAUCCGACUCCGAACAAUAUAAGUGUACGGGAUUCCUGCCACGGAUGCACUACUGCCCACCAAAACAAAAAUACCCACCAAAUCGAGACUGGGAAUGUGGUUUUCUACUCUGCAAGACACAGUUUUCUGAUAGGGUACAUCAGAUCCCUGCCAGAAUCGCAUGAUCAUUGCCGCUGUGCUGUCCCUAUUACAUACACAAUAAUGAGAGUCGCUCGUUAAAGCUCAACAGUUACUACCGCAAGUGUGAAAUUAGGUCUUCCUCUUCUGGCUUCUAUAUCAUCUGGGCGGGAAGCUACCACUUGGUUGUCUUCGAAGUCGAGGGUAAUCUAUGUAACGGCGAAGUCGUCCUGAGGAGGCGCAAGAAAGGAACGAAAACGCAGUAGACCGACAAAAACUUCAAACGCAGAGUAAACAGUCAGGUGAUCUAAGACGGCAACGCAGUCUUUAUGGAGGCCCAUGGGAGGAGCAAAAACUUGGCACAGAUAAAAAUACCAAACCGAAUUACAAAGUCGAAGAUGUACCCAACAUAUUGAAAUCGUACCAGCAGUGCUCAACACACUCCUUGUCUGAGCAGCGUCCAGGCGGAACACAACGGACAUUCCUUCCGACUUAACAUGCAUGACAGGGCGUAGGAUGCCGAACGAUUGAUGCUUUCCAAGAGUCUGCAAGCACGAGAGACGUGAAUAGUUAAAUGACCUCCGGUAAAGGUACCUUAUUCAAGGCCAGCGUGCAAAGGAAUUUUGCUGAAUCAUACUCAAUAGCCAGACCUCUCAGCCUAGCCAAGAUGCCCUAUGAGGUAGAUGACACAUUAUUGUCGGAAAUAGGGCCGCUGCUUGUUAAGUUCACAGCUAGCUAUGAACAGGAUGAGAAAUUGCCUCUAUUUGGAAUGGAUGUGGGUAAUAUUUCAAAAAUUCACUAUGCAUUAGUGGAGUUGACUAUUUAAGGCAGCUGUUUAUCCAUCUUUGGGUGAUUACUUUGUGAUCAUGUUAAAGUUGGUAAGGGUGGUGAUGAUUUGUCAAUUUGCAAGGAAGACAUAGUAAAGUUCUUGAAGGCUUUGAUUGAAAAUUAAAUAUAAUUGAUUUUCACUUCAUGUUCUCUACAUUUGCAACUCAUGUAAUUGGUGAGUUCCAACAAGCUUUUGAAUGAAAACAGGUCAAAGUAUAUCAUAUCUGGUGGACAUAUAAGCACAUAAAUCAUCAAAAAAUUUAGUGUUGUAAUAUAAUUAUCACCUUUAUGAAGAUGUGAAUUAAUACAUAGUUGCAUAAGGACAAGGUCUUGUAUACAAUUGGUAGUUCAAUUAUAAAGUUAUGAGACAUAAUUGUUAUUGAAAAAAGAGAAAUUAGAAGGCACAAUACUUAGCAUCAAGAAGGUUGUACACAAAGAAAAGUGUAGAAUAAGAUGACUCUUACUUCCAAUAUUCUUUACUUAUAGCUUGAAUUUACAUCUAUUAUAGAUGAACUUCAUCUAUAACCAUGUUCAUCCUUGUUUAUUACAUCUAUCUAAAACCUAGAUUUAUCUUAACCUAGUUGCUAUCUCAAACCUUAACUGCUACCAUUGUAACUUAUCUAAAUCCUUUAUAUUAGUGAUCCUACUACUGCCUUGUAUAGAAUACUUUGCAUUUCACCUUCAACUUUUGUAUACUCUUCAUUUGUAAGCUUCAUCAAUUUUAAAUUGGCCUCCAAAGUUAUUUCAAUGGACUUGCAUUCUUUGAUAUUGAAUUGUUUCAACACUUCUUUAAUAUACUUGCUUUGGCUCAAUAUAAUGGUCUUUUUAGUGCAAUCUCUUACAAAUUCUACUCCUAAGCAAUAAUAGAGGUCUCUCAAAUCAUUCUUCUCAUUCUUCUUUUUUAAUAUGAUCUUCAUCCAAUCCAUCUUUUCCAUAUUACUAGCCAAGAUGAUUAAAUCAUUAACAUAGAAGAUUACAACAAGUAAAAAUUCUUUAAAUUGCAUCACAUAUAAUGAAUGAUUAUUGUCACUCCUUACAAAUCCCUUAUUGACAAAAAAAUGUGUCAAUAUAUUGAUAUCAUACUCUUCGUGAUUGUUUCAAUUCAUAAAAGAAUUUAUUCAAUUUGCACAUAAGGUACUUUUUGCCUUAUGGUAUAAAUCCUUAAGGUUGGUCUAUAUGGAUAUCUUCUUAUAAUUUUUUAUUCAAAAAAGAUUAUUUUUAUAUCCAUUUGGUGUAUUUCAAAGUCCAUUGCUACCCUAAUUGCCAUAAUGGUCCUAAUAGUGGUGAAUUUCGAAACUCGUGCAUAAGUCUCAUUAAAGUCAAUAUCAAAAACUUGUGGAUAUCUUUUAGCAACUAAUCUUGCUUUGUGCCUCACGACCAUACCCAUUGCAUCUCUUUUAGUCUUAAAUACCUAUUUACAACCAACACUAGAUUGAUUUGCUGGAAGAGGUGUCAAUUCCCAUGUAUCAUUAUGUAUAAGAGAUUGGUACCCUUCUUCCAUAGCCUUCUCCCACUUGAUUAUAACUUGGGAUUUUAUAGUAUCAUACAAAGAUAACAGAUUAACAAGAUAAGCAACAUUUGUAUGUUCUUCACUUACUUAAGAAAGUAUUUGGUUCUUCCACCAUUUUCUACAUGGCCUUCUUUCUCUCAAUUGAUAUCUCCUUUUAUUUGUAGAAGAAGACUCACCUUCUUGUACUCCAAGCUCUUUUUGAAGCUUCUUCUCUCUUAAAGCUUGAUACUCUUCAUCAUCAUCAUCAUCAUAAUCUUCAACAUCUUUAUUGACUUCAUCUUCUUGUUUCUUUGUUGAAUUUGAAGCUGUAUCUAUAAACACACCAUUAUUCUGAUUAGGACACAUCUCUAAGUGCUCAGAAGCACUAUUAUGCUCCAAAAACUCAAUAUCAUGACUUUUAAUGAUCUUUGGGGUGUCUAAACAUAUUAGCCUAUAUGACUUGGUAACCUCACAAUAUUCCAAAAAAACACACUUUGUAUCUUUUGUAUUAAAUUUGGACCUCAUACAAUCUAGUAUCUUUGCAUAUGCAAUGCAUCCAAAGGUCUUCAUAUGUGAAAUGUAAGGUUAUCUUCCACUUCAAGCUUCUUGUAGUGUCAUUGAUGCAAAAAUACUUGUUGGACACUUAUUUCUUAUAUAUAAUGCACUCACUACAAUUUUGGCCCAAAAUUCAUAAUGAAGGUUUUGAGCAAGAAGCAUGUUCCUUGCGAUCUCCACAAUUAUUCAAUUUACCCUUUCAGCAAUACUAUUUUAUUCUGGAAUGUAUGGAGUUGUUUGUUUAGAAAUUCCUUCAUUCUUCAAAAAAAAAAAAGAACAUCAAAUUACUUAGACAUAUACUCACUUCCAUUGUUUGUACAUAGCAUCUUGAUCUUGUAGUCACUUUGUUUCUCAACAAGUGCUUUAAACUCCUUAAACUUCUAAAAGCACUCAUUUUUGGAUUUAGGAAUAUAAAUCCAAAUCUUUCUUGAAAAAUCAUCAAUAAAAAUGAAGAAAUACCUUAUUCUUUCAAUACUUGUGGUCUUCAUAGAUCCACAUAUAUAAAAAUGGACCAUCUCCAACAACUUUGUAAUACAUGUUGUUGCACCACUUGGAAAUCAAGCCCUUUAUUGUUUAUCUUGUAUACAUCCUUUACAUACAAGUUGUAUUAUAUUUUGGCUUGUAUUGCCAAGAUCUAAGCUACUUAUCAUAGACUUAAUCAUUGCCAUCCUCUUCACAUUCAAAUGGCUAAGGAGAUAAUAUCAUGUAUUCAACUUAUUUUCAUUUGAUGUAAAUUCAACAAAUGUAGCUACUUCCACUACAUUGACCUUCUUACAUUUGAGGUAGUACAAAUUCCCCUCUCUAGAGUCCUUGGCAACUAUGUUUCUAUACAAUAUUUUUACAAAACAUCUAUUCAUAUUGAUUUAAAGCAUAAAACCUUCUAUUAUAAGUUUAUUCACUGAAAGUAGGUUUUGUUUCAUCUUAGGCACAUGGAAGAUAUUUUUGAAUCUGAUUCUAUUGAUUUAUCCAUUCACAACCACUUCGACCAUAAUAGAACCAAUUCCAAUGUCUUCACAUAUAUCACCAUUUGCUUAAAUCAUAUUUGAUACUAAAAUAGCUUCAUAAGUAUGAAAUAAAUAAUUAUAAGAUAUCAUAUGCUUGGAAUAAUAUGAGUCUACAAUCUAUCUUGAUAUUGUAGCUAUAGAGAUACCAUUUGCUAUAAUAAAUAUAUAAUCUUAUCCUUUAAACUCAUCUUAUAUACUCUUUACAUUCUUCUUUUCCAUCUUUUGAUUUUGUAGCAAUUUCAAGCAAAAUAUCCUACUUUGUCAUAAAUGAAGCAAGUUUUGACAUUACCUUGUUGGUUUAAAUAGUUGUCCUUGCCUUAUUGUGAAUAGAGUAUUGAAUCUUCUCUUUGAAGCUCUUUUUAUUUCUUCUUGAUUACUUUAUGGCUAAAUGUUUGUAUCACGUAGUCUAUUGUGAGUUCUUUCAACUUGAUGGAUCCCAAAGCCACAAUGAAGUAGUUGUAGGAUUUUAGAAAGCUCAUGAAUAGAGUCAUGACCAUAUUUGAAUCUUCUAAGAUCUUGUUUAUAAUUACAAGUUGGUUUGCAAGUGCCUUCACUUUAUUGAUGUAUACCAUGAAGACUUUAUCUUCUUCCAUCUUGCAAGUGAAGAACUUCUUUCUUGUGUAAAUGAUGUUGGAUAAGUUCUUGCUUUCAUAGAUGUUGUAAAGAGUCUUCCAUGUAUCUAUUGGUCUUUUGCAAGAGAUAAUGUAGGAGAAAUUGGCUUCAUCAAUACUGGUUGCAAUUAAUCCAAAGGCCUUCUUUUUACAAUUUUUGUAUUCCUUUUCUUUCAUAUGAGCAUGCAUACUUGGAGGCUCUUCACUUUUAUCUAUAAUAUCCCAAAGAUCCAAAGAAAUCAAGAAAAAUUCUAUUUUUAUCUUUUAAUGGUAGAAAUUUUUAUCUCAACUUUUCAAUUGCUCUUAAGCCUUCACCCUCACUUGAAGCCAUGUCUAAAAGAGAAGUAUAUCAAAAAAAAGAUCAAGAGAAAUAGUCCUAAAACUUUCAAAAUUAGCAAAAAGAUAUUGCUGAUUUAUAAUUUUAAAAUCCUUCUUUUUGAAUAAACUAAUAUUUUGACUUUCGAAAUACUCUUAACUUUACUUCUAGAACUUCUCAUAAGUCCUAAAAACUAUAUAAAUAUCUCAAACUAGAUUUGCCACUCUUAUAUCACUUUUAUACUCACAAAUCACUUCUAUGCACGAUAAGAGGCCUUUUAAGUACCUUAAGCUUCUUUACCACAUGAAACUACAAAGAUAGUCUAUCAAAGAUUUAACUCAGCAAGAAAAUAAAAUACUAAUAUCCUAUAAAAUUAUUUUAAGAUAAAAACAAACAUCAAAUCUAAAAUAUUCUUAACAAGAAGUAAGAGCAAACUAAGAUUUAGAUCUAGAUUUGAAUGUAAAAGUUAGGAGAUUCUAAACCCUGAUACCAGCAAAAACAACAUGAUCUAUUCUACACAACAACAAAGAAUUCAUAGAACUUUAAAACACUUAAGCAAAUAUGAGUGGGUCCAUAACUUAUUAAAGAAAGAAAAAUUAAAAGCCACAAUACUUAAUAUUAGCAAGGUUGCACACAAAGAGAAGUGUGGAGUAAGAUGAUUCUUACUUCCAAUAGUCUUUAUUUAUAGCUUGACUUUAGAUGUAUUAUAGAUGAAUUUCAUCUAUAAUUAUUUUUAUCUUUUUUUGCUAUAUCUAUCUAAAUCCUAGAUUCAUCUUAAUGUAGCUGCGACUUCAGUCCUUAGUCACCACCAUAAUAUCUUAUCUUAAUUCUUUACUUCUUUUUGACUAUUAAAAACUUAUUAUAAUUAAGCUUUAUAUGAUGGUAAUUAAUCAAGUGUUUUCUAAUCUUUAACAAUUGUGUAUAUUUUGCAUCAAUUCUAGAACAUAAUUAGGUAAAUUUAUCCCAAUUCAAAGUAAUUAAAAAUCUUACUAAUGGAUAUUAAUAGAAAAUUGGUCAAAAUCAUAAUUUUAAAUCAAUUACUUAUAGAAAUAUUUAGAUUAGAUUUUUUUUAUUAUUAAAAUAUUUAUAAAAAUUAAAGAUUAUUUAUAAGUUAUAAAAGUUUUAUUAGAAAAAAAGUUAUAACAAUGGAGUCUUAAUAUGUCUUAAAAGUAAUAAUCUUAGUUGGUUUAGUAAUUUUUCUUGUUAUUAAAUAUUAAUAUUUAAUUAAUAAGACCAACGUCAACAUUAUAUUAAGGAUAAGAAUUCAAUGAAAAUAAAUAAACAAGUGAAACAUUUUUAGAGAAGUAUGAUAAAAUAAAAAUAAGAAAAUAUAUAUAUAUUAGAAAAAAAAAAUAAAAUGACUAUUGCCAAAAGACAAGAAAAUUAGAAACUCUUAAAAUAAGACUAGAAAUAAGAAAAGAAUUGACAAGAGUGAAAAAAAUUCACUCUUGCUCCUAUAUAUACUAUCUAGCUAAGAGCUAUAUGGCAAUGUUUUAUAGGACUUCCAAAACAUGUUGACUUUAUACGACAUGUAUUUUAACUUGUAAGGUAAGUUUUCUAUAUAUAUGCCACAUAAUCAACUUGAUCCACAAGCUACAAACAUGUAUAGCAUAUGGUUAAUUUGUUGAUAAAGUUUCUAAUCUAUCAAUCAACUACAAAUAAACGUAAAGACAAAACAAUAUCUAUAAAGUUUUUAAAAAACUUCUUUAAAAGAUAUUAUAAAAUAAAUCUAUUUUUAUUUAUUUCUACUUAAUCAUAUAGAUAAAUAUUAGAAUAAAUAUGUAUGUUUGUGACAUUAUCAUUCUUUUUAGGAACAAGUUCUAUGAGGAGCAAUCAUUAUAUAUUGAAAAAAAAUCUAAGAUUUGAUAAAUUAUAUUUGUUACAUAUUUUGAUCUUUAUUCUCUUCAAAGAUGGUUGAUAGAACCUCUUAGCCAUUGAGAGUGUCAUAUACUACGGCAAAAAAAUCACAUUAUUAUUUGAUUGUUGUUGAAGCCUUCAUAACUUCCUUCAAAUAAAAUAUUUGGAACAUCAUCAACAAUCAUCUCUACUUGUAAUAAAAUCACCAAAUAUGGAGAGUCUCUUUUAAGGUUGUGAUAUCAAACAUAUUGUAUCUUAUCAUCUAUUUAAAAAAAGACAUUUCAUUCUUCAAGAUCUUCAUCUUGAUUACAUCAUCUUGAAAGUCGUAACAAUUACAAUGUCUUAUUUGAUAAGUUAGCAAGUGAUAGCUCUUGAGUUAAAUCUUUUGGUUAUUGGUUUUCUAUUUCUUUAAUAUUAUACAUAUAUAGAAGUUACAAAGAAAAGUAGAAGGUAGAAUACUAUCUUUCUUGGAACUUGUUUCUUUUAUAGUAAAGAUUUACUAUUCUUCAUCUUGAUUUUGAUGGAUGUCAUCAAAAAAAGUCUUAGCUAUCUUUGCUGCAUUUGUAAGAUUAUUUUUUGGCUCCCAUGUGCACUAACUAAUAUCAUAUUCUUGCCAAUGAAUAAGAAUAUCUAAUCUGUUUUGGCAUUACAUUGAAUCUAAAAUUUCUUCUAUCUUGAAGUCUUAAUUAUUAUCUGCUUCUAUAUAAAGAGGUGGUAUUUGUCUUCUUUUCAAGAUGUUCAUUGUGUUACAUGGCUCUAAAAGAGACACAUGAAAUACAUAAUAGAUUUUCAUAUAUUCCAAUAGAUGUAAUCAAUAAGCAAUUAGAUUGACUUAUUCACAAAUAAGAAAUGGUCCAAAUCUAUGUUAAUCUAACUUGUCACAAAAUCAAAUAGUUUUUAUAUUACAAUGAAAUAAUCAUAUCUUAUCACCAACAUGGAUAUGAGGUUAUUCUUUGCGAUAGGCAAUUGCAUUGCUUUUUUGUUAUUUUUGAGUAUCUUCUAGUUGUACCUUUAUUAUUGUAUGUAGCUCAAAUAAAUGAUUGGCCAAAUAUUUUGCCAAAGGAUUAUCAACUUUUAAAAAUUCAAAAGCAUCAAGUUAUGGAUAUUAACCAUAAUUAACAAAGAAAGGUAUUUAUUAUGUAGAAAAAUAUAUUGUAUUAUUAUAAGCAAACUCUGCCAAUAGCAAAAGAUUUUUUUAAUCAUCUUAUUGGUAGUUGAUGGUAUAUCUCAAAUAUUACUCAAAAACUUGAUUUAUAUCUUCGAUUUUUCUAUUAGUUUGAAGAUAGAAAGCCAAAGAUAAUUUUAUAUUUAUAUUUAGAAUCUUAAAAAGUAUUUUCAAAAAUCUUUAAACAAAUUGAAUUCUCAUAUCCAAUAUAAUAUCUUUAGACAAUCUAUGAUAGCAAUAUAUAUUGUCAAGAAAAAACUUAGCUAUUUCUUCACAUAUGAUAGAUUUUGUAUAUGAUACAAAAUGUGCCAUUUUAGAGAAAUAAUCUACUAUCAUAAAUAUAAAGUCAUAAGAACCUAAGACUGGAAGAUAUAUGAUAAAAUCUAUAGAAAUAAAAGAUUAUGGUUAUUGUAGAAUAGAUAAUGGCUGAAAAAAUUUGUAAGGUUGAUAAAAAGGAGUUUUGAUCUUAAGCAAUCAUCACAUGAUUGUACAAAAUCUUUGACUGCUUUCUAUAUUUGAUGCUAUUAAAAAUCCUUAGAUAUUAGUUUCAAAGUUUUAUUGUAUCCAAAAUAUUCUAUUGUUGAGAAGUUAUGACAAGCUUGAAAAACACAUAAUUAUACUUCAUCUUGUAGAACAUAUAAGUAUUCCAAAAAAUAUAGUAAAUUAUUCUUGAAUUCAAACUUCGAAGUAUCAUAAAAUUUUCAAAGAUUUUUCUUAAUAUUAUGAAUAAAAAAAUGAAAAGAUCUACUUAAUUGAACUUACUUAAUAAAAGUUUAAUUAAUAUUUAAUAUUGAUUUUAUUGCUAAAAGAUGAAAAUGCUUUGGCUUCAAGAAAACUAUCCAUUAUUCAUCAAAAUUAGCAUCUUUUUUUCUUUGGUGUAAAAUGAGAUUGUUUAAAAAUUGCAUUUAAAAAACUUUUCAAUUUGUGAAGGAACAUGUAACACACUUUUUGGUUGGUGAAUUCUUGUUUUUUUUAUCCAUAAAUGAGCUUGAAUUCAAAUCUUAAGAAGGACAUGCUCUAGCAAACUUAGUGACAAUUUAAAAUACAUGUUGACAUGAAAUACUCAAGAUUCUUGUAAUUCAUAUAUAAAAUGAUUAGAUUAGGAGCACUUUUUAGAUAAUAGAUCCAUGCUUGAAAAAAAUUGUGAAGGACAUGAAUCUCAAAGAAAAUCCUCAAUACACUCUUGUAUCAUUGAAGAAAACUAGAAAGUCACUAUGUGGUUGUUGUUUUAUUUAUUCCAAAAAUUUCUUUCAAAAUAAAUUUGUAGAGGGAGAUUUGAACAUAGGAAAAGAUUAUUACAUGAGCUUAUACAUUAGGAUCACACAAUUAACUGUAAUCCAAACCACUAAAACACCAAGAAACAUUACAAUGCUUUUUCUUAGAAAUAAUACUCCUUCAUCAAUUGAUAACAACAAAGUACAAUCCUUUCACUCUCAAAAGAUUGCUCAAAAUACAUAAAUUCCAUCUAAUACUAGAAAUAAAACACUUUAUUCCAACCAAUCUGGAUUUACAUAAUUUCUGUAAUGUCAAAAUUUCUUUGUCAAAACACAUACAACUCUUAAUAAACAACAAUCAUAAUCUUCCAUCCAUAAUCAAUCUUCUAAUAACUUCUGAUAUAAUUCAAUUACACAGUACUCCAAUUAUAUAAUCAAUAACUCAUAAAUCAAUCUCUCGUUUAUUCCACAAAUUAACUUCUCAGUAUUUAAAAACUAUCCAUUACUCUUCAAUAACAAAGAAACAAAGAGGAAGCACCAAGCUUUACCCUGGCUCAUAACUAUCACAGUCUAGCUUCUACAAUAUCUUCUUCAACUUAUUUAUGCUUUACUUCUGAAAUUCCAGAUUCUAUCCAUGAUUCUCUACUUAAUCGUUUUUCAUAAUUGAUUCAAUCACAUGUCCUACUGAAUUGAUUAUCCUAAGAAUGAUUAAUCUACUUUAUCAAUAUCUUACAAAAAAAAAUUUCUACCCCUUCUAUACACUCAAAAGGUGAUGUAAUAUUAAAUUAGAAUGGUUAUUGCCAAAAACAAGAAAACUAAAAAGUCUUGAAAUAAGACUAAGACUAAAAAGGCAUUGACAAGAGUGAAGAAGAUUUCACUCUUGCCUCCAUAUAUACUCUUAACUAGGAGCUAGAUGACGAUGUUCUAUAGAACCUCCAAAAUGUGUUGACUUUGCUAGUCACAUGUCUUACUUUACAAAGUAAGUUAUCUAUGUAUGCGCCACAUAUUUAGCUUAUUCCACAAGCUACCAAUAUGUGAUUAACUUGUUGGCUAAGUUUCCAUUCUAUAAAUACAUCUAAAGUGAAAACCGCAUCUAUGAAGCUUUUAAGAAGCUUUUUUAAAAGAAUUCAUAAAAUUAAUCUAUAUUUACUUAUUUCUAUUUUAUUAUAUAAAUAAAUAUUGAUGUAUAUAUAUAUAUAUAUAUAUAUAUAUUCGUGAUAUUACUUCUCUUUCUAGGAAUAAGUUUCAUGAGGAGUGGUCAUCAUCUUUCAUAGAUCUAUGUAAUUCUUUAUGUUAGUUUAGAUGGAUAUUGUUGAUGAAAGGCCUCAACCUUCUUUGUUGCAUUUCUAAGAUUCUUUGUUGGCUCUCAUAUGCAUUUGCUAAUAUCAUAUCCAUGCUAAUGAAUAAGAUAUUCCAACCUAUUUUGGCACCGCCUUGAAUCUAAGACUUCUUCUACUUCGAAUUCUUGAUUAUUAUCCACUUCUAUAGGAAGAAGUGGCAUGUGUCUUCUUCUUGAGAUGUUCACUAUCUUAUAUGAUUCAAGAAGAGACAUGUAAAAUACAGGAUAGAUCUUCAUGGACUUUGAUAGAUAUAAUUGAUAAACAACAAGAUUGAUUUGUUCACAAAUAGAAAAAGUUCUAAGCAUAUAAUAGUCUAACUUAUCAGAAGCAUGAGUAGUCUUGAUAUUGUGAUGAAGUAACUAUACUUUAUUUCUUACAUUGAAUUGUGGUUGCUUCUUGCAAUAAGCAUCUGCGUUGCUCUUUUGUCAUUCUUGAAAUUUCUCUAAUUGUAUUUUUAUUAUUAUAUGUGGCUAUGACAAAUAAUUUGCCAAAUCUUUUACCAUUGGAUUAUCAACUUUAGAAAACAAAUUCAUAAGUAAAUCUGUAGAUUAGAUGAGUUCUCAAGACUCCCAUUGCCUGCCAUUCAGCUAAAAUCAAGAUUAUAAGCAAAUUUUACCAAUGACAAGACAAUUGUCUAAUUGUCUUAUUGGUAAUUGAAGGUAUACCUUAAGUAUUACUUCAAGACCUGGUUUAUGUACUUUGUUUGUCCAUCAGUUUGAAGAUGAAAAAUCAAAGUUAGUUUUAUAUAUAUCUUUAGAAUCUUAAAAAGAUUUCUCCAAAAUCUUGAUACUAAUUGAGUCCUCCUAUCUAAUAUAAUAUCCUUGGAUAAUCUAUGAUAUUGAUAGAUAUUAUUAAUGAAAAGCUUAGCUAUUUUUUUACAUAUAAUAGAUUUUGUACAUCAUACAAAAUAUGCCAUCUUGAUAAAAUGAUCUAUUAUCACAUAUAUAAAAUCAUACGAAUCUGAGACUGAAAGAUUCAUAAUAAAAUCCAUAGAAAUAGAAGACCAUGGUUGUUCUAGAAUUGGUAACAAUUGAAGAAGUCCAUAAGGUUGAUGACAACGAAUUUUGGAUCUUGUACAAGUAUUGCAUGAUUGUACAAAGUAUUUGACUACCUUCGACAUUUGAGGCCAUAAAAAAUCUCUUGAUAUUAGCUCCAAAGUCUUAUUGUAUUAAAAAUAUCUAACUGCUAAAAAAUCAUGACGAGUUUGAAAGACAUGUAAUCAUACUUCAUCUUCUGGAAUAUAUAGGCAAUCUUUAAAAUAUAUUAGGUUGUUUUUGAAUUCAAACUUUGAAGUGUUAUAGGACUUUGAGAAAGUAUUCUUGAUAUCAUAAACAAGAAGAUUAGAGAACAUACUUGAUUGAAUUUGCUUGACAAAGGUUGAAUCAAUAGGCAAUGUUGAUUUUAUUGCUCAAGAAUAAAAAUACUCAUGCUUCAAGAAAAUCAUUCUUUGUUGAUCAAAAGAUGCAUUUCUUUCUUUUGAUGUAAAAUAAAAAAAUUUAGAAAGGAUGUCUGAUAGACCUUGUUGUUUUUUAAGUUGAUAAGUAAUCUUGAAAUUGAAUUUGAAUAAAGACAUGCUUUAACGAGCUUGACAAUGAUUUAAAAUACAUGAUCAUAUGAAGUAUUGAAGAUUCUUAUGAUCUAUAUACACGAUAAUUGGACUUGAAGCACCUUCUAGAUAAUGACGCCAUUCUUGAAGUGAAUCUACCAUUGCAAGGAGCUCUUUGUCAUAGAUCUCAUAAUUAAUCUUGGAUGCUGAAAAUUUCUUAGAAUAAAAAGCUAUUAGAUGGAAUUUAUCAUUUAUUUCUAUUUGUGAUAAGAUAACACUUAUAGCAAAGUCUGACAUGUUUGUUUUCAUAAAAAAUACCUUGGAAAAGUAAAUGCAAUAUAAAAUUGAUGCAGAAGUAAAUUCUUUCUUUAAAGCAUCAAAUGAUGUUUCGGCUUCUUUAUUCUACUUAAGUUUGUCUUUAUAAGUCAAAUGUGUAAGUAGAGCUACAACUUAAAAAAAAGUUUUUGAUGAAGAUUUGAUAGUAAUUAACAAAGCUCAAAAAGUAUUGCACAUCUUAUAUUGUUAUUCGAAUCUUCCAAUCUAUGAUAGUUUGGACCUUCUUGGGAUCCAUCAUAAGGCCUUCUUUGGAAAUGAUGUAGCCUAAAAAGUCAACUUGAGUAGUGUAGAAUAUACACUUUUUCAACUUGACAUAUAAUCUUGCAUCUCUAAGUUUUUAUAAUACAAGGCAAACAUGAAAUUCAUGUUCUUCUAUAUUCUUAAAAUAGAUUAGAAUGUUAUUUAAAUAAUAAAUGACAAAAUCAUCUAAAAACUCAAAAAAAAUAUCAUUCAUAAGAUGUUGAAAAGUGACCAAUAUAUUUGUGAGUACAAAAGAUAUGACAUUAUAUUCAAAAUAUCCAUACCUAGUUCGAAAAGUAGUCUUCUAUUCAUCUCCUUCUUUGAUAAAAACGAAGUUGUAUGCUCCUCAUAGAACUAUUUUGGUAUAGAUCUUUGCUUAAUUGACUUCAUCAAAAAUUUCUGAAAUCAAAGACAAGGAUAUCUAUUUUUGAUGGUGAUCUUAUUAAGUCCCCGAUAAUCCACAUACAUCUGCAAAGAUCCAUCUUUCUUCUUUAUAAAUACGAUAGGAGCCUUGGCUAGAGACUUAGAAUGGCAUAUGAAGUUUUAUGCCAAGUUUUCAUCAAUGUACUUCUUUAAUGUAGCCAAUUCAUUUUGCAAUAAGCUAUAGAUUAGUUCUAAUGGUGAUUGAGCUCUUUCUUGCAGAUCAAUUGAAUAAUCAUAAGAUCAAUGCUCAAGAAGAAUAUCUGUAUUUUUCUUUUCAAAAACAUCUUCAAAUUCUUGAUAUUGGGUAAGAAUACCACUUGACAUUUUUUCAUCAUUAGAAAUGGGUAUAGUAUAUAUAGCAAAAGAUGAUCCUUCUUUUGUAGCAUGCAUGAAAGCUCUUGCAUCUACUAGUAAAGAUUUGGAUGUAUUAAACUUAUGUAGUUCUACUUCACUAACAUAAUCUUAGAUUAUAUUACCAAAAAAAUUAAGGUUAUGAGAAAUCCAAUCUAUUUGAAGGUUAUAUUUUUCUAGCCAUAAUAUUACUAAAAUAACCAGAUUGGAGGGAGAACUUAUUACAUUAAAUAUUACUAUGCUAUUAUGAUUUUUAAUUAUUACAUCUAAAAGAAUAGUCUCAUAGAUAACAUUUCUAGAAAACAACAAAUAACCAUCUAUGACUUCUACAUGUAUGGAUUUAGUUUUCUUCAUUAAAAGUAUUUUUUGAUUUUUGACAAAAUCUUUGUCUAUAAAAGAAGUUGAGGCUCUUGAAUCUAAUAAGGUAAAGACUUUGUGAUUUUAAAGUCCUAAACACACAUCUAUUGUGAAACAAGAUGAGGGAUCUGAGAAGAGAAUAGGAUCUUUAUUAGGUGUGGCACAUGGUUCCAAACACAUAAUCCCUAUUACAGGUGGAAAAACUCAUUUUCAGACACAUUAUCUUCUUUGGUAAUUAUGCUCCUUAUUUUGUAAUUGUGUUGUUUUUUUGGACAAUAUUGAGCUGUGUGCUUAAAUUCUCCAUAAUAUAAAUAUAAACCCUCUUGGCAAUGUCGAGUCUUUUUGUGCUCCGUGAGAGGUUUAAAACAUAUCGUAUCAAUUUGCAUUGGUUCCGACCUUAAUGAAUACGUUUCACAAAACUUAGGAGCUACCACCAUUACAUGACUUAUUUCUCUUCAACCAAGUCUUUGCUCUUGAAGUCUUUCAAAUAAUUAAUUGUUAUAAGCAAUGGCUUGAGUAAUAAAUUUUUCUAAAGAUUUUACUUUUGGUAUUGUUAAUAACAAAUCUUUAAUGCUAUCCUUCAACCCAUAUUGAAAUUGAUUAAUACGUACUUUGUCAUUUUAGUCCAUGUUGCCAUUAAGGUUUUGGAAUUCAGUAGAAUAUGUGGUGGCUGAUUAUGAUCCUUGUCAUGAAGAUAAGAGUUUGAUCUUUGCUACUCAUUCUUGAUCACUUUCUCUGAAUGUGGCCAUAAAUACUUUUAAGAAUGAAUUUAAAUCAUAAAGAAGUUGAAAAUAUUUUUCUAUCAAAGGUACAAACCAAGAAAGAGUACUUCUAGAUAGAAGUGCACUCAUGAAGCAGACUUAAGUAAAUCCAUCUGUGUAUUUGAAAGGAUGUAAUCUUAAGUAGAAUUUAACUUGUUGUAAAAAUCUUUGAAAUUUUGAUCUUGUUCCAUCAAACUUCUUAGGCAUACUAAUUCUUACCUUUCUUGAGCUCGUAGAAGCAAGAUCCCUCUGAAUUUGGUUGUGAGGCUGAUUGACUUGUUUCCUUUAAUUGUACAAUUUUUUAAUAUAGACUUUGGACUUUUUCCAUCGAUAUAGAAGUAGUGCUCUCAUGUUUGAUGUUGGUGAUGCAUAAUUUUUUUGUCUUAAGAAUAUUGACAAGCUCGUGAAGAUCCAUAAUAGUUAUAAAUCUAUUUUUACUACUCUUAGAAAUAACAUCCAUAAUCUUUCCUUCCAUAGAUAGCUCAAACAAAUCCAAAAAGUUAAAUUAGAAGAGGGUAAUCUACAACCUCUAAUAAAAUUUUUUAUAAAGAAGGAUAAUCUACUCUCUUUAAGGAAAAAAUUCAGUGUUAGAAAAAUAAGAUUUUUUGUUUAAAGGUGGAUAGUUUGCAAUCUUCACAAUUCAACAAUAGAAGUGGGAUAAUUCACUCACUUCAAAAAUAAGACAAAAAUAAUAUAUUAGUAAUUUUGUCAAAUAAUCAAAGACAUGAAUCUUGAAAAAAAUCCUCAAUACACUCUUGUAUCCUUGAAGAAAAUCAAAAAGUCACUCAAAAGGUGAUGUAAUCUUAAACUAGAAUGGCUAUUGCCAAAAACAAAAAAACUACAAAAUCUUAAAAUAAGACUAAGAUUAGAAAGGCAUUGACAAGUUUGAAGAAGGCUUCACUCUUGCCUCCAUAUAUACUCUUAACUAGGAGCUACAUGGCAAUAUCCUAUAGGACUUCCAAAACGUGUUGACUUUGCUAGCAACAUAUCUUAACUUACAAAGGAAGUUAUCUAUGUAUGUGCCACAUAUUUAGCUUAUUCCACAAGCUACUACAGAGAGCUAACUUGUUCCACAAGCUACCAACAUGUGGUUAAUUUAUUGGUCAAGUUUCUAUUUUAUAAAUAUAUCUAAAGUCAAAACCGCAUCUAUGAAGCUUCUAGAAAGCUUUUCUAGAAGAAUUUAUGAAAUUAAUCUAUAUUUACCUACUUCUAUUUUAUAAUAUAAAUAACUAUUGAUGUAAAUAUAUAUAUUUGAGAUACAAAUCUACGAUUACAAGAAGUUUUUUGUUGUGGAUUUUAUAGUUCCAAUUAUCUACUAAAAAUAUUUUGGAAUGAUAAAUAAGUAGGUGAAGUAUAUCAUGUAUUUUUAUUUGUAAUAAUACAACAUCCAAAACAAAUUUUGAUGCAUUUUUUUCCAUAAAAAAUGGCUUAAAAAAGUUAAUGCAAUACAAGAUUGAUACAAAAAUAAAAUUAUCUUCAAAGCUUUAAAUGCUACUUCUACUUCUUGAUUCUAUUAAAGUUUAUCUUUAUAAAUCAAACAUGUGAAUGAAGCUGUAAUUUGAAAGAAGACUUUGAUAAAGAUUCAAUAGUAGUUGUCAAAUUCCAAAAGUAUUAGACAUCUUUUAUUUUUUUUGGAAUCUGCCAAUUUAUAAUAGUUUGAACUUUCUUUAGAUCCAUCAUAAGUCCAUCAUUUGAAAUAAUUUAUCAUAAGAAGUCAACUUCAAUAAUAUAAAAUAUGUAUUUUUUUUAUUUGGCAUAGAAUCUUGCAUCUCUUAGUUUUUGUAAGAUACAACAAAUAUAAAGUUUAUAUUCUUCUAUAUUUUUUAAAUAGAUUAAGAUAUCAUUUAGAUAACAGACAAUAAAAUCAUCUAAAAGCUCUUAAAAGACAUAAUUGAUUAGAUGUUGAAAAGCUACUCAUACAUUUGUAAGCCCAAAAGAUAUGACAUUAUAUUCAAAAUUUCCGUACUUGCUUCAAAACACAAUCUUCCAUUCAUCUCCUUCUUUGAUGCAUAUCAGAUUGUAUGCUCUUCUUAGAUCUAUUUUUAUAUAAAUCUUAGCUUAAUUCAAUUGAUAAAAAAAUACAGAUAUCAAAGAUAGCAAGUACAUGUUUUUGAUGGUGAUCUUAUUGAAUCUUUGAUAAUUAACACACAUCUACAAUGAUCUAUGUUUUUUCUUCACAAAUGAAAUUAGAGCUUUUGUUAGAUAUUUAGAUUAGAAUAUAAAGUUCUUGGCUAUAUUUUCUUUAAUAUACUCCUUAAAUUUAGCCAAUCCAUUUUAUAAUAAACUAUAGAUUCAUCCAAAUAGUAGUUUAGAUCCUUCUUGAAGGUCAAUUGAGCAAUCAUAGUAACAAUGUUCUAAAAGAGUAUUUGUAUUUUUUUUUCAAAUACAUCUUAAAAAUCUUGAUAUUGGUUAGAAAUUCUAUCUAAAGUCUUUCUACCAUUAGAAAUAAGUGUGGCAUAAAUGAUACAAGGUGAUCUUUCUUUUGCAACACUCAAAAAAGCUCUUGCAUUUAUAAAUACAAGUUUGGUUGUACCAAAAUUAUGACUUUCUAUUUGAUUAAUUAUGCUUCUAGUUAUAUUUUUAAAAACUUUAGACUAUAAGAAAUCAAAUCUAUUUAAGAAUGUACUUUUUUAACUACAAUAAAUCUAAAAUGAUUAGUUUAAAAGAAAACUUAAUGAUAUUAAAUACCACAAAGCUACUAUAAUUAUUAGUUAUUACUUUUAGAAGAAAUCUUUUAUCAAUAUGUCUCUAGAAGACUAUAGAUGACCAUCUAUGAUUUCUAUAUGAACAAGUUUUAUUUUCUUUAUUAAAGAUAUAUCAUAUCUUUUAAUAAACUCUUCAUUUAAAAAACAAGUUGAGGCUCCUUAAUCUAGUAAGGCAAAGGCUUUAUAAUGUUUAGAUCUUAAAUUAAUAUCUAUUGUAAAAUAAAGAGAGGAUUCUAUAGAGAGAAUAUGGCCUUUUCUAGAUAUUGUACAUAGUUCCAACCACACAAUGCCUAUUGUAGUUGAAAAAACUUAUUUUUAACGUACUAUCUUUUUUGACAAACAUAUUUUUUAUUUUAUAAUUAUAUCACUUCUUUUGACAAAGAUGAGCACUGUAUUUUAGUUCUCUAGAAUAUAAACACAAUCCUUCUUGAUAAUGAUGAAUCUUUUCUUGCUCAGUAAGAGGUUUUAAAUAUACUGCAUCAAUUUACAUAUCUUCUACUUCCAAAGGUAUGUAUUGAAAAGAUGUUAGUAUUUCCAUUGUAUUAUAAUAAUAUUGAAGCCUAAUUUGGUGAUUCUUAGAUGAAAAUUCAAAAAACCAAUUGUCAUACUUUACAAAAAAAUCAAUUUCUUGACUCAAUGUUUAAAAAUCAUAUAAAUUGAGCAUAAAUUUUUUUAUCUCAUAUUAUCAUCUAUAAAAAAAUUAAAUAAAAAAUGCAGCAUCAUUCUACUUAAUAUCACUUACAUGUUGUGAAAAUAAUGAAGCAUACAAUAUUAUAGAUUGAUUUUUUUGUUACAAAAUCUAGAUCUUAUUUGUUAUAACAUAAACUUCAUCAUGUUUUCUACAUAUAGAUUGAAAUCCCGCCAACAAAGCUUUUCAAUUAUCCAAUAUUAGAUCAUGUUGUUGUAUUAUAUGCUAUCUUGCUUGAGAAUGCACUGGACAUUUGGUUGUGGAAGGUAAAACAAUGUUUUACAAGUAUCCAAGUAGCCUAGUGGGUUUCAACCAUCAAAAUACAAACUAUUUCGGAUCUCAAUGUAAAAGCUUAAUUCCAAUAUAAAGAACUUAAAAAUACUAUUUUUAAUAACUUUAAGCUAUUAUAAGCAUAAUUUUUUUUAUUACUUUAUUAGUUUUUUUUUUUUGUUUUUUUUUUUUAAAAUCUUAAUCCUAGACAGUGAGCUUUGGCAAGCUGUAAUUAUCAAUUUGUCCAUCCGAUUGUUGUAAAACUUCUACGACUAGUGUCUUUACAAGCCUUUUAAAUGCUCAAAAAGUUUCAAUCCAAUCCAACUUACAAAUUGCAAGAAAAUGCCAUAAAUCCACACUGAUGUUUCUUGACCAUUAACCAGAAAGUUGAUGAUGAACUUUGAAUUGCAAUUUUUCCUUCUCCAACCAUUAAUUCUUAUUCAACUUUGUGUGCAACUCUGUCUUUAAGUCCUUGACUUACUAUGCCAAAAUUUACCUUAUUCUAGCUGGUAGAUCACUAGAUAUUGUAGAAAUCCUGAUCAACCCCAAUUUGUCAACUUCUGAUUCUUCUUUGUACUAAUGAUCAAAUAUCCUCUAUUCAUGCUAUUAGAUUAACACAAAUUUCUGCAUUCACUUGGCAUACUCAACCGUCUAGAUAUCUCUAAAAUUUCAACUGUAGAUGUUUCUUUGAUUUCACAAAACAGUCAAGAGUACUAGCUCUCACUUUAUUGCAAAAAUCCAAUUCACCAAUACAAACACUGACUUUGAAUAAUGAUUGCCAAAAUCCUCCCAAAUCCUAUGAAACCAAGUCUUACACCUUGCAAAAAACUUUCAACUAGCUCUUUGCUCCCCUCUCCAAAUUAUCAGCUUCCGAUAUCCUUAUAUUUCUCCCAUCUUUCCUGAGUUUUUGAUAUGUGGUCCCCUAUUCUUCUGCCUUGGUCUUCUCGAAUUGGCCCAGCCAACAAAGCUUCUCCUCCGUGUGGUCUGAUAUUCUUCCACCUUAGACUCCUGAAUUGGCCUAGUCGACAAAACUUCCCCCCGUGUACUCGCCUCUAAGAGGAUCUUUUUACGGAAAGGACGUUUUUUGAAAAGGCUUAGAGAAUGGAACAGUUUGAAAUUGAACUAAAGUCUCCGUAUCAGGACCUCAUUGGGUUGCCCAACCGAGUCAAAUCUCAUACUGGAUAAGAGGCUUGUAACAAGACCUGGAUUGGAUCUCUCAGUAAUUGGGUCAAAUUGGCCCUUUGUAUUAGACUCAUCCAAAUGUUGAAUUAGUCCUUUCUCCUUUUGCCGACUCUUGGUAAGAACGGCUUAGACACAUUCCAUCUACUUGUACCAGAGAAUCUCAAGAACCUUAAUUUAUCUCCUCAAUUUUUCUUGGCUUUGUAUUUGAUGAUUCUCAUCAUUGAAAUUAAAUGGAUCAUUACAAUACUGAUAAGUAAGCCCCGAUUGCUUGCGACGGGGUGAGAUUAAAUGGCCCCUGAAUAUUAGCAUUGGAAUUGGCCGCCGUUUCUAACAUCUAAGAUGACUAAAUAUUAAUAAAAUCUUUUUCAUUUAUAUUUUCACCAUAGAGUCAUGUUAUAACACAACAACAUCAUUUAAAAAAAAAAUAAAAACCAUGAUAAUGUAAAAUCAAAAAAUAAUAUUUUAAUAAACCUAACUUAUGACCUUAGAAUUGGAUAGCUUUGGAAUGAAAGUUCAAUUUCUAAUUGUACUUGAUUGAUGAAUCCUUAAAACUUUGAUUUUGUACCAUCAAAGUUCUCACAUAAGAAUUUUUUUGGUUUUUUAGUACUCAAAUGAUAUUCCAUUAUUAAAAAAGAGAUAUGAUUUGUUGCAAAUAUUGAAGCAACUUUAAUUAUUUUUAUUUCUCAAUUUUUUUUCCAUUCUUAUUUCUUGUUGUGGUGGUAAAUUGAGUUGAUGCAUUGCAAGCAUUAACUUCCUUCAUUGUUCUUGUAUUUGUACCAUUGCACUUUUUAUUUCAACAAGCUCUACCAUGAUAAUACUCAGAGGAAAAAAAUGUCUAAUAUUGCUAAAGACAAGUGAAAGAAAGAACUUAAGAACAAAGAAAAUAUUAAAAAUAAUAUCAAUUUGGAAGAACAUAAUCUACAACUUCUAAUACUCUUAUGUCUUAUUAAGAAAAAAAAUCUACUCUUAAUCAAGAAAAGAUAAAGCUUUGAUAUUAUAAGUAAAUUCUUAUUAAUCUAUUAAGGACAAGAAUUCAAUGAAAGCAAAUAAAGAAGUGAGACNNNNNNNNNNNNNNNNNNNNNNNNNNNNNNNNNNNNNNNNNNNNNNNNNNNNNNNNNNNNNNNNNNNNNNNNNNNNNNNNNNNNNNNNNNNNNNNNNNNNGAAGUAUAAUAAAAUAAAAAAUUAAGAUGUAUAUUAAUAAAAAAUUAGAAUGGCUAUUACUAAAAGUCAAUAAAAAUAGAAAUUCUUAGAAUUAGAUUAAAAAUAAGAAAAAAAAUUAUAAGAAUGAAGAAAAAUUUAUUCUUACCUCCAUAUAUACUAUGUGGCAAUGUUCUAUAGGACCUCUAAAACAUGUUGACUUUGAAAGGUACGUAUCUUAACUUAUAAGAUAAGUUUUCUAUAUGUACGCUACAUAAUUAGCUUGUUCCACAAGCUACCAAUAUGUGUUGCAAGUGGUUAAUUUGUUGACCAAGUUUUUAACCUACCAAUCAAUGAUAAAUACAUGUAAAAUUAAAAUAUAUCUAUAAAGCUUCUAAGUUUGUUUAGAAGAUAUCAUAAAAUAAAUCUACUUUUAUUUACUUCUACUUAAUCAUUUAGAUAAAUAUUAGAGUAAACAUAUAUGUCCAUGAUACAUUGGACUUUUAUCUAUAUGUAUUAUCUAUUAAAAAAAAUCUAUAAAUAUAUCAACGAUAUGAUUAUAAUAAUAAAAACCUCAAAAUACUCUUAUGUUAUUUGAAAAGAAUAAAAAUUUAUUCAAAAGUAAUAUAAUAUUAGAACUAAAAUAACUAUUACCAAAGAUAAAAAGAGUAGAUUCUUGAAACUAAACUAAGAACAAAAAAGGUAUUGAUAAGAAUAAAGAAGGCUUAGCUCUUAUUUCUAUAUAUACUAUCUAUCUAAGAGCUAUGUAGUGACAUUCUAUAAAAUCUUUGAUAUGUGUCCAAUUUAUAAAAUAUACAUUUAACUUGAAAAUUAUUUUUUUGUAUAUAUGCUACAUAGUUAGUUUGUAUCAAAAGCUAUCAAUAUAUACUACAUGUGGCUAAAUCAUUGCAAAGUUUUUAAUUUAUCAAUUAACUACAAACAUGUCUAAAGUCAAAUCUAUAUCUAUAAAACUUCCAAAAAGCUUUGUCAAAAAAUACUUUCAAAUCUAUAUAUAUUUAUCUUCUACUUAAUACUUCUUGUUUAGAUAAAUAUGUAUGUCUAUGAUAUUGUCUCUUCUUCUAAGACUGAGUUUUAAAAGGAGUAAUAAUCAGAUGUUGAGAAAGUCUAAGAUGCAACAAAUUAUAUUUGCCACAUACUUUAAUCUUUGUUCCUUUUGAAAGGGGUUGUUAGGUCCUUUUAGCCAUUGAAAAAAAAGACCUUUGUCAUUUGGAUAAUAAUUGAAGAAAUCUAUAAGAUUAAUGAAGAAGAGUUUUUAAUUUAAUCCAAAUAUUACAUAAUUGUAUAGAUUUUUUAAUUACCUUCUAUCUUUGAGGCCUAAAAAAUCUUUAGAUAUUAGUUUCAAACUCUUAUUGCAUCUAAAAUAUCAUGUAGCUUGAAAGUGGUGACAAACUUGAAGAAUUUGUAAUUAUGCUUCAACUCGUGGAAUAUAUAAGCAUCCUUCAAAAUAGAAUAGAUUAUUUUUGAACUCAAACUUUAAAGUAUUAUAAGAUUUAGAUAUAUUAUUUUUAAAAUUACAAUAAAAGAAUUUGAAGAUAUAUUUGAUUGAACUUUCUUAAGAAAAAUUGAAUCAAUAGUCAAUGUUGAUUUUAUUAUCCAAAAUUGAAAGUGCUUUGGCUUCAAAAGAAUUAUUUAAUGUUAAUCAAAAGUUGUAUCUCUUUCUUUUAGAAUAAGAUGAAAAUACCUAAAAAAGGCAUCCAAAAAUCCUUAUUGUUUUCUUGAUUGAUAAGUGAUCUUAAAGUAGAGGCUUAACAAAGACAUGCUUCAACAAGCUUGGUAACAAUUUAACAUAUAUGCUGACAUAAAAUACUCAAGGUUCUUGUGAUCUAUGUCAAUAAUGACUAAAUUUGAAGUAUUUUCUAAAUAAUGAUGCCAUUCUAGAAAAUACUUCAAAUUUAGUCAUUAUAUUUAUUAUAAGAAUAAAUUUUUUAAAGAUCUAUUAUAAGAUUAUUAUUUAAAAUGAUGUAUCCUAAAAAGUAAACUUGAAUUAUUAAUAAUAUAUAUAUAUAUAUAUAUAUAUAUAUAUAUAUAUAUUAUUUUAAUUUAUAGACUUAUAUUUCUAAAUUUUUUUAAUAAAAAAAGUAAAUAAAGUUUAUACUCUUUCUUAUUUUUAGAUUAGAUUAAGAUGAUAUCUAAAUAACAAACAACAAAAUCAUCUAAUUUUUUUGAUAAAACUUUAUUAAUAAGAUGUUAAAAGCAAUUGAUAAAUUUGUGAGUCCGAAAGGUAUGACAUUACAUUCAAAAUGUCCAUACUUGAUUUGAAAUGGAGUCUUCUUUUCAUCUCCUUCUUUAAUACAUAUCAGGUCAUAUACUUCUUAUAGAUGUAUUUUGGUAUAGAACUUUGCUUGAUUUAGUUGAACAAAAAGUAUUGAAAUCAAAGAUAAAGAAUACAUAUUCUUAAUAUUUAACUUACUAAAUUCUUUGUAAUCCACAUAUAUUUAUUGUGAUCCUAAACUUUAAAUCCUAAAUCUUAAAUCCUAAAAUAAUUAGAUUUAAAAAGAAUAGAGUUAUUUUGUGAUACAUUAUCUUCUUUGGCAACUAUGUUUUUUAUUUUAUAAUUAUAUUUUUUCUUUGGAUAAUGUUGAAAAAUAUGUUUAAUUUUUCUACAAUAGAAUCACAAUCUUCCUGACAAUAUUGAGUCUAUUCUUAUUUAGUAACAGAUUUGAAAUGUACCAUAUUAAUUUUCAUUAAUUCCGGCCUUAAUAAAUAAGUUUUUGAAAACUUAGAAGUUGUUGCCAUAACUUGAAUUAUAUUUCUCUAAUAAAAUCUAUAUUUUAGGAAUCUCUUAAAAAAUAAAUUUUUGCAUAUAAUGGCUUGAAUAAUAAAUUGUUUCAAUAAGUUUACUUUUAGCUUUGCAUAUAAUUUAUUUUUGAUAUUAUCUUUCAAUCCAUAUCAAAAUUGAUUGGUAAGAACUUAGUCAUUUCAAUCCACAUUGCAAGUAAGAUUUUAGAAUUUAACAACAUAUAUUAUAGCUAAAUUUGAUCCUUAAUGUAAAUAUAUGACUUUUUUCCUUACUAUUAUUUUUUAAUUUUUUUUAAAUAUAGCUAUAAAUACUUAUAAAAUAAAUUUAAAAUAUAAAAAAGUUGUGAUUCUUUUUUUAUUAAAGAUACAACCAUAAGAGAGCACUUUUAGAUAAAAAUAAAAAUAUGAAUUCAACUUGAGUAAAUCCAUCAAGAUAUUAGGAAGGAUGCAAUCUUAAAUACAACUUCACUUAUAGUAGGAAUCUACAAAUUUUUGAACUUAUUCCAUCAAUCUUUUUUAGCAUACUUAUCCUUACUUUUGUUACACUCAUAGUAAUAAGACUUCUUAGCUUCAAUUGUAAGCUUGAUCUAUUUGCUUCUUUCAAUUGCAAAAUUUUUUGGCAUAAACUAUGAACAUUAUUGAUAAUUUCUUUGAUAGAUGUAGGAAUAUUACCUUAAUGGUUGAUGUUAGCAAUAUGUGAAAUUUCUAUUCUAAAAGUAUUAAUAAGCUCAUCAAUAUUGAAAAUAAUUGCAUAUCUAUUCUCAUUUUUAUCAAGAAUAGUAUCUAUAAUUUUUCCUUCUAACUUUAUAACAAAUAAUUUUAACAAAUCUUUGAGUUAAUUUAAAAGAAGAUAAUCCACAACCGUAAAAAAACAAAUAAAAAUUUCUACAAAGAAAGAUAGUCCACUUUCUUUAAGAAAAGAAUUUAUAUUAAAAGAAAAAAAUGUUAGUUUAAAGGUAGAAGGUUUCAAAUCUUUAAAACACAAUUAAAGAUGUAAAGAUAUCUAUUUUCUUUUAAAUAAAUAAAUAAAUAAAUGAAUUAAUAUUCUUAUUAAAUUAUUAAGAACAUGACUCUUAAAUAAUAUAAAUCUCAAUACACUCUUAUGUUACUUAAAAUGAGUAGAUAAUCACUUAAAGAUAGUAAUAUAUUAGAACUAUAGUGGCUAUUGCCAAAAAUAAGAAGACUAGAGUUUUUGAAAUAAGACUAAGAAUAAAAUAAGGCAUUGUUAUAUAACCUGAAUUCUUGCUUGAAAAUGUACCAUGUACAUAGCUAUGGAAGGUGAAUAGAAAAUGUAACAAUAAGAUUGUGAGCUCAAAUUUCACCACUCAAUGAAACUGAUGCCACACAACAAGUUCAAGAGAUAGAAUAGAAAAACUUCUAAUUAUGUAAUUUCUAAAUUGAUUUAAAUCUUAAUGUUAAAAAUUCAAAUAACUUUAAGUCUUCUAUGUAAUAAUUACCAAUAUUAAUAAAAAAAAUAUUUAAUAAAAUCACUAUGGUCUUUAAGGCUAUUUGCAUGAUCUCCAUUUAAAUCUCAAUGGUUUGUUAAGAUCAUUUAUAUAAUCCUUAAUUACUAAUUUUUAUAUGAUUAAAAAAUUAUAAUUAAUUAGAAUAAAUAAUUAAUUAAUUAUUUGAAAUUUAUAAAUUAUUAUUCCUUAAAUAAUUGAUGGUAAAAUUAAUUAAUCAAAUUAUUACAAUUAAUUUAUAAUAAAAGUAAAAAAAACUUAAAGGUUGAAUUAAAAGAAAAAGUAAAAGUUGAAAUAAAAAAAGUAAAAGAAAGAAGAUUAAUGGUUAAUAGUUAAAAAUUAAAAUCUAAAAUUUUAAAAUAUAAAAGUUGUGAAUUACUAUAAAAAUAAAAGUAAAAGUGAGACUAAAGAGAGAUAAAAGCAAAGAUAACGUGAUAAUGCCUAAGAAUUGAAGGCAAAAAAUCCUUUGUAUUCCAAAAUUUAUCAAAUUUUUUGAUUAACUUCAAAUUUAAUGAUUUUUACUUUCUUGAAAAAUUAACUUGAAGGCGCUCCUAUUUCAAUAAAUUUAAAUUCAAUUCAAUACCUAAGCCAAUUUGAAUGUUGAUCUGUUCAUAAAAUUUUAUCUUCAUUAAAUCAUUCAACUGCUUCAAAAUUUGAUUGAUGUAUAGAUUUCUAAGCCUAAAUGGCUUUCACCAAUUUUUGCUUUGAUCAAGUUGGCAAGUAUUAUAAGUUCAUAAAAACUUUUACUGGCCCUUAAUUUCAUAAUCCACAAAAAUUCUUACAACCUUUAAUUUAAUUUUUUAAUUAAAAUUAAAUUUCUUACAUAAAUUUAAAACAAGCAUAGAGAUAAAUUGACAAAUUUUUACUUAUAAAUAUGCUACAAUACUAAGACAAUCCUCAAAUGUGUGAAAUUCUUUUUAUUUCUCAAAAUCCAAAUCCACCAAAUACAUUUUUUACUUUGAAAAACUCUCAAAAUCUUAAUAUGCCUUUAAAUCACAUGAAAUCAACUUUUAAAAAUCUUCUCCCAAGUUUGAUCUGAAAUUCAUUUCUUUAAUCAACUAAAGAACCUUAGAAUUGUACUAUAUGUACAAUUUUGUAUCUUAGAAUCUCAUUUUGACCUUGGUUCAUAAUUAGUCCUAUUUGGAUAUCAAUUCUUUACAUUUUGAAGUAAUUUUUGCUAAAAUCUAUUCUUAAUUUUUUUUAAAAAUACAUAUAUCAAUUAUUUAUCUUAUUUACUUUGAUUUGGCUCACUUAAGCUCCUACAAAGUAAAUAGAAGUCUAUUCUUUAAGGAAGGAGUAUUAGCAUUUAUUGAUUUUUGCUACCUCUUUAUCUAUUAUCAAUAUUUUUAAGAUAAUUUUCUAAAAUAUUUUUAUAUAAGCUCUUCUAUAAUAUAAUUUUUUCUUUUUUCUUUCACCAUAUAGUUGUGUUAUCACUUAAUAGUGUUGAUAAGUAUAAAAAAGCAUUUACUCUUGCUUCUAUAUAUAUUAUUUAAUUAAGAGAUAUGUGACAACAUUCUUUAGGACCUCCAAUAUGUGUCAAACUCCUAAAACAUGUAUAUCAAUAUGAUAAUAUCAUUUAUCUUGUAAGACAAGUUUCUUAGAUAUAUAUAUAUAUCACAUAGCCAACAUGUAAUAUAAGUUAUCAAUAUGUGUGAUACGUGGUUAACUUUUUGGCUAUAUUUCUAAUAUGGAUAAUACAUAGCUAACUUAUCAAUCAACUACAAAUACAUAUAUAAUCAAAUUUAUAUUUUAGAAGCUUCUAAGAAGAUUUUUUAUAAGAUAUUAUUUAAUCUAUCUAUAUUUAUUUUUUAUUUUAUACCUCUUAUCUUAAUAAUUAUGUAUGUCUAUAACAUUGAUGAUAUUUAAAUUCUUUAGGGAAAAAACAAUUAUAAGUAAGGAUAUUAGCUUUAAAAUCUUUCAUUAUUACAUUUGGCUAAUCUUUUAAAUUUAUUGUAGUAGGAAUAGAAUCAAUGACAAAAAAAAGGUGAUUAAGACAUAGUCUAUAAACUAAAUAAUUUAAUAAAUUAAUGAGAUAGGAUUGUAAGCCCAUAUAAAAUAUUAAAUAACUUUAGAAAUUAAGAGCAUGAACCUUGAGAUUAAAAUGAAUGUUUGUAGUAUAUCUAAGAUCCAAAUUGGUUGUACCAUAUAAAUAUCCUAAAAUCUAAAUAAAUAUUACUAUUAUUUUCUAAAAAAGAAUUUUGAAUAAUAUUUAUCGAAAUUAAAAUUCAUCUAAAUAUAUAAGAUAAAAAAAUCCAUCAUACUUUGAAAUUACUGGAACUUAUUGAGAGUAGCUAUACUAAUGAAAGAUAAAAUAUUAUUUUUAGUAAAAACAACUAUAAUAAAAAUAUAUUAUUAAAGAUAAAAUUUUAUAAAGAUCUUAAGAGCAUAAAUACCUUAAUAAAAAUAAAAUAUAAAAUAUGAUUUAUCAUAAUGCUUAGUUUUUUUUUUAAUUUAUUAAAAUCUUAAAGUUGAUAUUUCUUUUUAAAAAGAUGAUAAAUAGAGAUCAUAAAAAUAAGAGUAUAUACAAUAGUAAUUAUGUCCUUGAUCCAUUGAAAUAAAAGAUUACUAAUUUUAUAUUAAAGAAUAAAAAUAUUAAAUAGAAGUUAUAAGAAACCAUGAGUAUGUAAAAAAAAUAGUAAAUUUCAAAUACUAGAAUAAAAAUGCAUAUUUGUGAUCAUAUAGAGUUUUGAAUAAAAAUCAAAAAAUAAAUAAACUAUUAAAAUUAUAUACUUUAUAAUCUAAAGAUGGCCAAAUAUAUACCAAGAUCUUAUUUUUAUAAAAUAAGAAUGUUGAAAAAUAUUGUAGUAAUAUCUAAUGAAUGACCUUUAAAAUCUUGUGCAUAAAUAAGAGCCAUUAUGAAAUGAAAGAUCUCAAGACACAUAAAGAUGGCAAAGAUAUCAUUAUAGCUAAUACCAAGAUAUUUCUUGUUUCUGCAAACAAUAAAUUAAGCCUUGUAGAAAUUAUUCUAUUGGCAUUUUUAUCUUACAAGAUUAUAAAAAUUAUGUAUUAAGAAGUAAUGGAUCUAAUUGAGUUAAAUUAAAUCAAUAAAAUUGAUAUAGCUAAUUUUUUUUGUCUUAUAUUACAUAUCUAGAUUUAAAUUAUUCAUGGCUUAUUUAUGUAAAUAAAGUAUAAUAUCAUGUAAUGAUGAAAAAAAUCUUUUAAAAAAUUUGUAUAAAAUAGUAUAUGUAGUACUUAAUUAAAUAAUUAAAAUUUCAAAAUAAGGUUGAUAAGUUAUUACUAAAGAAAUUUAAAAGAAUGGCUUUUUGUUUCUUUUAAAAAAUCUAAGUAAAAUAAAAAGAGAAAUGAUUGUGUCAAAUACUAACAAAUAAAGAUAGGUAAAAAGUAAGGAGUAUGAUGCUAGAAAAAUAAUUAGUUAUAAUAUCAUUUUUUAUCUUAUUAUUAAGGACAAGAUCAAUCAGAGGUGAGAAGAUUGGUAAGAAUACAAACUAAUAGAUAUCUAAUAAGAACAAUAUAAUUAAGAAAGUGAAGAUAAUGAUGGUGGAGAUGGUGGAAUAAAAAUUUCAAAAGAUAUAGUAGAUAAAGUAUCAAAAGGAACAGAAAAUAUAGAAGAAAAAAAAACAUCAAAAUUUUUAAUUAAGAUCUCAAUAUUAGUUGUAGAUAAAGAAUGAAAAAGAUUUGAAGUAUCCUUGUCUUUUAGUAUUUCAUCAAAUAUAAUUUAGAUAAUUUUUCUACUUUAAUAGGACUUAGAAAAUUAGAUAUGGCAGUUAAGGGCUUUAGACUAUUUAACUAAAUAUCCUCUUUGAACUCAUAUAAUGAAAUAUUUUUAUUUCUUGAUGUUUUUCUAGUAGCAUAUAAACAUAAGUAAUAAUUCAAGAAAUGCAAAGAUAAUUGAGGUUAAAAUUAUAAGGCAAUUAAAUGAUUCAUAUAUAUAACAUGCAUGAAAAGAUUAUUAGAAUUUAUUGCCGAAAAAAAUUAUUAGUAAGACAUAUUACAUAAGAAACUACUUCUAGCAACAAUUUAUGUAGUAGAUGAGUACUAAGAAUUAUUAUACUNNNNNNNNNNNNNNNNNNNNNNNNNNNNNNNNNNNNNNNNNNNNNNNNNNNNNNNNNNNNNNNNNNNNNNNNNNNNNNNNNNNNNNNNNNNNNNNNNNNNNNNNNNNNNNNNNNNNNNNNNNNNNNNNNNNNNNNNNNNNNNNNNNNNNNNNNNNNNNNNNNNNNNNNNNNNNNNNNNNNNNNNNNNNNNNNNNNNNNNNNNNNNNNNNNNNNNNNNNNNNNNNNNNNNNNNNNNNNNNNNNNNNNNNNNNNNNNNNNNNNNNNNNNNNNNNNNNNNNNNNNNNNNNNNNNNNNNNNNNNNNNNNNNNNNNNNNNNNNNNNNNNNNNAAUUUACAACCACACGUGAAGAAAAAUUAAGUUAGAACAUUUUGCCCAAACUCCAAACCAUUAUUAAUGUGAAGUUUGACAAUAGAAAAAUAAUUCACUCAUGCUAAGAAUAAUUAUAUUUAAGAAAUACAAAAAAUUGAUAUUUAAUUUAUUCACAUAUAUAAUCCUUUUUUAAUGGAAGAUUUGACAAAUUCCAUGAGUAUAAAGAUGUAUAAGGCAUUAAUGUAAGAUAUUAAUAUGAAAAAUUUUGGAAGAAAUUUUUAAUAUUGAUUGUAAUAAUGAUCAAACUUUGAUUGGAAAUUAUAAUUUAAAUUAUUAUAAAUUGGAUUUAUCAUCAAUCAUAGCAAAUUCCAACUUACUUACAAGUUAAAAUAACUUAUGUAAUUUAUUAUAAUAGUAGAUCAUUUAACAUUCCAAAAUCUUUUUGAAAAUGACAUUAAUUCUUUAGGAUAGUAAAUACCAAAUAUUGAUGAGUGUUAUAGUAUUAAUGGAUAUUGUACAAGAUUUAUAAUAAUAAUGUAUGCCUCAAUUAUUACAUAAAUAAUGUAUGGUAUCUAAAUUAUUAAUUUAAAUAAAAUGAUAGAAGAUUAAUAGAAAUUUGAAUAAAGUCAUUUAUGUAGUCUUAUUUAGAAAUUGUACAAUAUAGUAUUUAGAUUGCAAAUUGAAAGUAGAAUAAAAAGCAAUUAAACAUUGAAUAAUUUUUCUAUGUUUUUAUUUUUUAAUAAUUGAGUAAAAACUAUAGAAAUAAAUAAAUAAAAAAUAUAAAAGUCUUAUUUAUAAUACUUUUAUUAUUUUUUUCAAAAAUUGACCUUAAUUACUUCUACAACUUGCAUUUCAACUACUUGAUGUUGGUGACUUGUCUAAAAUUUUAAAAAUUCAAUAUAUUACCUCUAUUACAUUUUUUUAUUAUAAAAAAAAGAAUUAAUCAUGGCUUUGAAGAAAUCUUGCAUAAUUAGCUAAAUUCAAGAAGUACAUGCAUUGUUACAAUUCAAUACACCAAAUAACUAAUUUAAUUUUCAAUUCAACUUUUAUAAAUCACAAUUCAAAAAUCAAUAUACUAAUCCCGUAUUAUUCAAUGAUUUUUCUAAAACUUCCCUUUUAAUAUACUACAAUAAUAUUUUGGUCCUUUAAAUGAAUAAUUAGUAUUUUUUACAUUAAUACUCUUGAAGAUCAAUAUGAUAUUUUUGUCUCUUCUAUCUUAUGAUAGGCUAUGAAGUAUUUAUAUCCUAUCAUUAUUUUAUUGGAAUGGAUUACCAAAAAAAAAUCAUAGAAAGAAUCUUUUAAAUAGAAAUAUUAGAAUGAAAUUUACUAAUAUAUUAAUGCUAAAAGAUACUAAAUCUUACUACCAAGUUAAGUAGGCAUGGGAAAAAAUUAGAUUACAUACUUUCUUUAAAAUUUUUGUGGCCAUAAUUAAAAAAAGGCUUUUUCUUAAGAACUUUUCAAUUGCAAGAUAUUUCAUUUGUCAUAUGAGCAAUUUGUAUUGAAACCAUUGAGACUUAAAAGAUCUAUCUUUUUUUUUUUUAAUAAUUAUAAAAUUACUAGGAAUUUCAAUUAAUAGUACAUUCUUUUUACUUUACACUUCAUACAAUUUAAUAAAUAUUACUUUCAUCAUUUAAUUCAUCCAAUAAAUCAAAAAUCAAAGUGAUGAAGAAAAAGAUUGAAGAAUAUUUAAUAAAGUAGAAAGGACCAAUGUAUCAUCUUAGUGAAAUUUCCUAUAUACUACAUUAUGAUUUAAGGCCCUUAAUCAAGACUCGCUACAAGGUAUAAGAAUUUCUAAGUCUAAGUGGUUUUACUUUACCCACUUAGAUAGUAAGUCAAUUUUUAAUAAAGCAUGGAUCUCUAUUGGUUACUAACAUAGUCUUACUUAAUUUAGUCUAUUAUAUGACUAAAAUUAGUUACUUUAUAAACUUAAAUUAAAUUAUUAUGAUUAAUUUUAAAUUAUUCACCUAACAAAUGAUAAGUUAAUCAUUAAUCUUUCUUAAAGAAAAGACUUGAUAUGUGAUUUAUUAUUGAUUAAUAUCUUAACUUAAGCACAUAUCCUUAAAACAAAUUAUAUUUUCUUCAAAAGCUAUGCAAUAAAGAUCUUAUAUCUUAAAUUGACAAAAAAUAUUAAAGAAUCUACUUUUCUAUAUAGUUUGGCCAAAAUCCAAAUUGAUAAGUUGAUCAGACGCCAUUAAAUAAGUAGCAUAAUUUUAUUAUAAAAUAACUAUCAUAUUAUUUGUUAUUAUAGUUUUAGUCUAUUCCACUAAAAAAUACAGUUAUAAUAUAACAAGUAAAAAUAAUCAUUUUUUUUUAAUAAUUACAUCUUCCACCGUCAAAUAUUAAGCAUUAGUUGAGGCAUCAAUGGCAUAAGCUUUGGCCUACCUCUCUAUACAUAUUACCUUUUGCAUCUAUCUUUUUAUUAUUUAUACUUUGACUUACUUUAAUUAAUCACCAAUUGUACUCUGUUAAUUAUGUUUAAGAUUUUGCAUGUACAUCUAAUUAAAAUAGUAUUUUCUUACUUAAUAUUACCUUCAUCCAUCUCCUAAUUCAUUACUUCACUUUUAUUUCAUUAAUUAUUACUUGAAGUUUAAUAAGUAUGGCAUUUUUUAUAGGCAUAGAUUCUACCUUGGUAUUUUAAACUUGUUUAAAAAAAUAGUCUUCUCUUGGAGUCUAGAGCUCUUUCUUAUCUUCACUUAUUUUGGGGUUUCAAGAGAGUCUUUUUUAGGCAAGAUCAGCAAUAAAGGAUGAAGCUUACUUCCCACUAUUACUAAUUCCAUAAAUGUCUUUAUUGAGACUUCAUCAAUCUUUGGUAUAACAUCAAUCUUAAUCUUUAAUUCUUCUAUGGUAACACUCUUUGCUUCUAUUACAAAUUUCAUAAGUCUCUUAGACACUUCUCUUUCAAAAAUUAGCACCUACCAAUACUUUCUUAUGAUUUCUAAGUCACCAUUAGUCUUGCAAAAUCUAAUAAUAACCAAACUUAUAAUUAUCUUAUUGUAGAGGUCUUGCAUCAUUUCUUUGAAUUUUUCUAAUUUAUUAAUAAACUAAAUAUAGGCUAUAAUUAUCUAAAUAAUAACUAGAUGUGAAUCACCAAAUCGACUCACUUAUGCAUUUAGUACAAAAAUUAUACUUAUUAUACUUAAAUCUAUAAGUAUUUUUAAUUAGUAAUUGAAUUUUUAGAUAAAUAAAAAAAAUAGAUUACUAAUAACAGAUAUGCAACUUGAGGUAAAAUUUCUGAAGAUGCACUUCUAAAAAAAAUGUUUAUUUUAAAAAUAUCUAAGAUUAAAAGAGGGUUCAAGAAUGGCUAUUUUAUUGUUAUUGAUUUUUUAAGUAUAUAAGAAGCUAAAGUAAGGAAUAUUGAUGUAAUUCUAUUUAAAAUAAAAAAAUAAAAAAACUAUCUAUUAAUAUUCUUUAAAAAUAUAUAAAAUCAAUAUCAAAAGAAUAGAAAAGAAAUAUAUAUAUAUAUAUAUAUAUAUACAUAUCUAUAAUAGUAAAAAAACAUCUAAAAAGAAUAGAAAAAAUAUAUAUAUAUAUAUAUAUAUAUAUAUAUAGAGAGAGAGAGAGAGAGAGAGAGAGAGAAGAAAAAGAAAAGAAAAGAAAAAAGAAAAAAUAAAUAAAAAGACAAAAGUCUAUCCUUGAUUUUUAGUAGCGUCUUUGUCGAUAGGAGUCUAGACCACCCUAGAUCCCUCUUCUUUUUAUUUGAAUAUUUACUUGUGAAGCAUUUGGAGAGCUUUGACUAUUAUGGAAUGCUUCUAGUUUGUGAUUUUUUCUACUCAAUUAUAUGGCUACAAUAGUGCUAUGGUAAGAAAGUGAGUUCUUGUUCUUUUUUAUUUUUAUUUUGAUUUUUGUUUUUUAUUGUUUUGUUUUAUUUUGUUUUAUUUUUUUUUUAUAAAAAAAAGAAUGAAGUGAAGUUGGUACUAGAUGAUGCUAGUAAAGGCAUAGAGCACGUAUCAUUUGGAUCUAGUAUUGAAGUACAUUAUAGAAUUUCAAAGAAUUGCAAUGAGGUUCAACGGAAGUUUUAUAAGUAGUCAUGUAUUUCUUGAUGUGAGCAUAAUUAAAAGCUCCAAUGAUUAGUUAUAAUUAUUUUUAUACUUUUUAACAUAUUUUUACUAAUUUUAAUGCUAAUAUAACUAAUUAAUAGAUUCAAAUUAGUUUUUUAGUUAAUUAUGACUUUCAUCAUAUCUUUAGGUUGUUAAUUAGAUGGAUACUUCUAAUUAGUAGAUUGAUUGACUAUUUUAAAAUUAAAAAGAAAAAAAAUUAAAUUUAGAGGAUCUAUGAUUUUUUUCUUGAAUUACUUUAAAUCUUUUUUUAGUAAUAAAACUAUAAUUUUAGUAGAUUUUUUCUUCUAAUUCUUAGGAAUUAUAUCUUAAAUUAAUCCUUAAUCUUAAUUUUCAAUCCAAAAGCUAAUUUCUAAUUUGAAUAUGGUUAAAAAGUCCCAUAAACCUAAUUGCUCUAUCUUCUUAAUCAAUUUUUAAGAUUUUUAAGCUUAAAUUUUAUUUUGUAAUUUAAUUGGAUUAAAAAUAUAAAAUCUAAUUGUUAAAUUAAUGAUAAUCUUAAAAAGAUGGAGACAAGCUAAAUUUUUGGUGGAGUUUCCUCUCAUAGUGAUUUUAAACACUACUUGAAGUUGAAAAAAAAAAAAAAAAAAAAAAAAAAAAAAAAUUGGAAAAAAUCACAAAUUUAAGGAAAAUUUACAAUUGGGUUUUGGAUUUGUCAAGAGCUCAUGCUUAAGGGAGUUUAAAUUGAAGAAUGGUGAUUAUGAAGGCUUUGAUGGCAAGAACCUUUGCUAAUUUCCAAGUAGGCUAAUUAGAAUUAAAAAUGGUAUUAAAAUUAACAACUAAAUUAGCAAAUUAAUUGAUUCUUGUGAUUUAGAACUCAAAUUUGGACUUGUGAAUAGCUGAUUUUAGACUAAAAAUAUGUUUUAGAGACAUUUAAGGUAUUAGUUUUACCAAAUAGGGGUUAGUUUUUGAGUUCUAGGCAUUUCCAGACUUGAAAUCGGGUUUGGACUGAGAGUUAUUGAGGACCCUUGAUCUUGGUUAGGAAUUUUCCAAUGUUGAUGGUAGAGAUGUAUUUGCCACUUUUGGGCCUCCUCCUACCUGGUUAAGAGGGCUUAGGUGACUGAAUUCCCUCUCUAUCACUCCAUCUUCUUAUGGCAAAGCCAUGGCAAAAUGUUCCCCCAUCUUGUGAAUGCAAAUCUUCUUCUUUAAACUUAAUUGGCCUCAGUUUUAACUCGCUCAGUCUAUCUCUUUUUAUUUUCUUGUUAUAAAACUUUAUAAGUAGAUUCUACUCACCUUUAGCUUUGUAACUGCAUAAAGCAAUCUUCAUUUGAAGUUGUGACGAAUUUUUGGCGAGUUUUCAAGGUGGCACGAGUCUACUACCUUGGCAGUGUAAGAGCAUCGGCUUAAAAAAUCUAUAACUCGGUGACUUCUGACUCAACUUUGAUAUAGAUUGUUGAAAUGAAUGCACUCUAAAGCUUGGUUUACUAAAAAAUUUAAAUCACUAAUUUCCAAUCUAUAUCAAAUUUUUAAUGAAUUUUUAAAUGUGAAGGGAUCUGCUGCGUAGGCAGUGUUGAACAACUAGUUUUGAAAGAUUGUAUCUUAGUACUUACUUACAUUUUUUUUCUGGAAUUUGUUGGAAAAAGAACUCUACUAAGUGUGGUUUUAGGAAAAAUUAUACUUGUCAAUUUUAAACUAUUAACUGAUUUUUAGUGAAUUUAUAAGUAGAAGAGGGUCUGCUGCCUAGGCAGCUCAAGUUGCCUUGCUGUGAAAAUACACAUCUCAGAUGUCAAACCUUGGAUCACCAUGAAAUUUGGUAGAUAGGAGCAACUCUAUGUCAACCUCAACCACAAAAAAUUUCAAGUGCAUAAAAGCUGUGUGGAAUUGUUGGAAAAUUUUUGAAUAACAAGGGAUCUACUGCCCUCAACUUGACAUACCCUAAGUAAGUUUUUUCUUCCCUAAUCACCCUCUAAUCACAUCCCUUAGCACCUAAAUUACUAUAUUAUCACUCAUUUUUCUAAUUAUUAUUAAUUAAUUUUAUUUGAUAAUUUCAAAGAACUAUUAUCUCACUUGGAAAUUAAUCUUAAAUUCUUAUCUUUCCAUCCAUUCUUACCCUUGAGGAUAAAAUAAAAUGAAAUAAAAUGAAAUAAAAUAAAUAAAAAUUAAUCUGGUCUUUUAAUUUUUUCCUAUUUCUUUUAAUCUUAACCUUUUAACUUUUAAUUUUAACCUUCAACUUUUACCUUUGUUACUUUUAAACUUUCACUUAAAUUUUAAUUAUUAAUUCUAAAUUAAAAUUUAGUUUAAUUUAUUUAUUUAUUAUUUUUUUUAAUCUUCCAACUUUCAUCUUUUAUCUUAAAAAAAUCUUAACAUCAUGUUAAUGCUGAAAUUUAAUAUUUAAGGCUAUUUAUUAUUAAAUUUCUAAUUCUAAAUGAAGUUUUGACAUAAAAACUUCAUUUGUAGAUAACUUCCUAUAUAGAACUCUAAUUUAUAUGGUUAGUACCACCUUGGAAAGCCCUAGACUAGCACUCUAGCAGGGCAUUCAUUUUUUUUAUUAUAUUUUAUUCUAAUUCAUAAUUUUCAGAGUUUAAAUUUGAUAGAAUAAAUCUUGGAAGCCACUUAACUAAAAACUAAAUGAACUACAAAUGCUAAAAAUUAAAUCAUAAAAAGGUGUAACUAACUUGUUGUGUUGUUGAAUGAAUCUUGAUUAUUAUCUCAUUUUGGUUUUCCUAUCUUAUAGAUGAUUUGCAUCUCCACAUUAAUUAGUAUUCGACUCUGAUGUAAGUUAUGAUCUAAUUAAAUUAAAUUUAAGUUAGGGGAGAAAAAUCCACUCACACUUGACAUGGGCAAUAUGAAGCUUGAGUAGUAAUUAGUAUUGGUAAAAAUAUUGACAAUUGGAUCUUGCAUAUAGAGGUGAUUACUAUUGUCAUCAACUUCUUAUUUGUAUUUUCUUUUCUUUCUUGAUUCAAUUCUUGAGAGUCUUGUGUGUGCGGAAGUAAACAUUUGAGGCAUUUUAGCUUUGCUACAAUAGUUUGUAAUCUUGUUACAAGGAUUUUUGGAGUUGAUCAUAUUGAUAAUGUUCUUUAGCUAAGGGUACUUGACUGUCUCAAUAUUACUGAAGUGGGAGCGAUAAGACUAAAAAUAAAUUUUUAUUGUCAAUGAAGAAUAACAAGAAUAACAUUGUUAUGUGGUAAUAUGAUUAUAUGGUAAAAAAUAGAAAUAAAGAUGUCAUCAUUGCAAAGCCUAGUAGAAAGAUGUAGUAGAAAAAUAAGAAUAAAUAGUAAGAAGAUAGUAAAUAUUUUAGUCUUAAUAUUGUCUUUUGUAGAAAGAAUUUGUAAUUGAUUUGAAGAAUCAUAAAUACCUCAAAUCAAAGUAAAUGAGAUAAAUAAAUAAUAUUGAUAUCUUUAGAAAAAAUAUAGUAUUAGAUUUAAGUAAAAAUUACCUCAAAUUACUAAAAAUUGAUACUUGGAGAUGACCAAUUGUGAAUAUAGGUCAAAAUCAGAUGCUGAAGUACAAAGCUAUGCAUCUACAGCAACUCUAUGGUGUUUUUGCAAAUCAAAGAAAGGAUUUUGAUAGUAGACUUAAGAAGAGAUUUUUAAAAGUUCAUUUCAUGUGGUUUGGAUUAAUAUUGAGGUUUUGAGGGAUUUUUAAAGUCAAUUGAUGUACUAGGUGGGUAUAGAUUUUGAAAAAUAAAAUAAUUUUAUAAGUUUGAAAAUUUUAUAAGUUUUGUGGCAUAUUUAUAAAUAAAAUUUAGUAAUUUAUUCUUGUACUUGUUGUAAAUGUAUGUAAAAAAGUUGAAAUCAAUCAAAUGGUUGGAUUGAAGAGUAUGAGAGUUUUUAUGAAUUUUGGUUUUAGAAAUUGGAGUCUAGAGGAUCAAUGAAGAUUUUCAAAAUAUCUAUCAAUCUGCUAAUUGGAUUGAUAUAAUUUUUUUCAAUAAUAGCUAGCUUGACUUCUAAAAAUAUUCUAAAGUUUAAAAUCAACUUAAUAGUGAAAUUAAGAGAUUGUAAUUGUGGAAUAUCAACAUCAAGGAUAGAAAAAGAUACCAGCCAAUACUUAAGUGGAGUUUAGAGAUUAUCAUCUAUUUAGUAUAUGCAAUCUUCUCCAAAAAAAAUUUUGAUUGUUUUUAACUUAGUUUUUGAAAAAUUUAUAAUUUAUAAAUUAAAAUUAAUAUUUCAAUUGUUAGUAAUUGAAUUUUCAAUUUGUUGUAGGAUUUAUUUAAGAUUUAGAGUUUGAUUGGAUUUUGCUUAAGAUUUCAUUAGGAUUUCAUUAAAAUUUCACCUAAGAUUUAGUUAAGAUUUAUUAGAGAUUUAAUUAAGAUUUAAUUAGAAUUUGAUUAAGAUUUAUUAGGAUUUUAAUUAAGAUUUAAUUAGAAUUUUAUUAAGAUUUAAUUAGAAUUUUAUUAAGAUUCAUUAGGAUUUUAAUUAAGAUUUUGAUUAGGAUUUAAUUAAGAUUUAAUUAGAAUUUUAUUAAGAUUCAUUAGGAUUUUAAUUAAGAUUUUGAUUAGGAUUUAAUUAAGAUUUGAUCUAAGAUUUGAUUGAAAAUAAUUAGAUUUCAAUUAUAAUUAGAUUAUGAUUGAAUUAAGAUUUAUUUAGAAUUUAUUUAGAAUUUUUUUUAGGAUUUUUAAAGAAUUUUUUAUUUUAAGAAAAUUUAUUGAUAGUAUUUCUUUAAGAUUAUUAUUAUUUCUUUAAGAUUUUAUUUUUAUAUUCUUUCUUUACAAUUUUUUUUUUUUUUUUUUUUUUUGAGAUUAAUUUAUAACUUCUUUGUAUUAAUUUUAUAACUUCUUUUAAAUUUAUUUUAGAUUGAUUAAAGUUUGAUUAGGAUUAUUAAAGAUUAUUUAAAGUUCAUUUAAGAUUCUAAACCAUGGUAGGAUUGUUGUUGCAUUUUUAUUUACCUUCUACAUUUAGAUUUCUAAUGUAUUCUCAAACAAAUAUACAUGUAAUAUGACAUCUCUAUGACAAAGCUCUUCUCUCCUAAGUACUCAAUGGUGUUGGCAUUGAUAGAUUGUGAGUAGUAAAUAAGAGACAAUUUUCUAUGUUAAUUAGCUGUAUAGAAAUUGAAUAUUCAAUGGUAUUGGUUUUUGAAUAAAAGUAUAGUGAGUAGUAGUGGAAAGGAAAUUAGUAAUAAGAAAUACUCCAGUUUAAGAGAAUAAAAUAAAAUAUUAAUAAUUAAAAUUAAGAAGGAUCCAUCUAAUAUUGUUAAUUUAUAUGAACAAGUAGUUGCAAGUUGUUAGUGGAAGUAGAUCUAGAAUCUCCAAUUCAUAGCAUGAAGAUUGGACUUUAUAUGAAAUGAUAAUUUGUGAGCAUACAAUUUUUGGAUCUAAUAUCUUAAAGAAUGGAUGAAAUACAAGUUCAAAUCAAUUGAUUGUUAUUAAGAAUUGGUGUAAUUGGUCAUAGCUUGUGGUAUUAAAUUAUGUAAAUUCUUGCUCAAGAAUGCAUGGAGCAUGUGGUUGUUGAAGGUAAAGUUGUAUUUUACAAGUAUCCAAGAAGCCUAAUAGAUUUCAAUUAUAUGAGUACAAAGUAAUUCAAAUUUCAAUACAAAAACUUAGCCAAUAUAAAGUAUUCAAAAACAUUCCUCUUAGUGAUCUUAAGUAAGCACAAAUCCAAAUUGCUUUGUUACUUUCAUCCCUUUUCAACUUUCAAUUUUCUUUCAAAAUCUUAAUCCUAAUCUUAGACCUAGAUAAUGAGCUUUAACAAGCUGUAAUUCUGAAUUCAAUUAUUGAAUUAGUACAAAAUAUUUAAUAUUAGUAUAAAUACAAGUCUUCUAUAUGCUCAAGAAGUUUCAAGCCAGUUCAACUUACAAAUUGUGAGAAAACGUGAUAAAACCACAUUGCUAUCUCUUAGCCACCACCUCAAAAGUUGAUGACAAACUUUGAGUAGCAAUUUCUCCUUCUUCAAUUAUUAACUCCUACUACAAAUUUAUAUAUAGCUUGGCCUUUAAAUCUUCUAAAAUCAUGUAAAAUUCUAUCUUACUUCAAGUAAUAGAUCUUUGGAUGUUGUGAAAUCUUUAAGCCACUUCAAGUUAUGAAUAUCUAGUAUAUCUUUGUACUAAUGACCAAAUAUCUCCUAGCUAUAUCGUUAGAUUAAUACAAAGUUUUAUGCACACUUAAUACAGUCAAUCAACUAGACAUUGAUAAAUUUUAAACUACAGAUAUUGCAUCAAUUUUUCAAACCACCUAAGAAUGCUAAUCCUAAUUAUAUUGCAUAAAUUCCAAGUCACCAAUACAAACUCUUAUUUUGAACAUCAAUUGCAAAUUCAUUCCAAAACCUAUUAAAACAAGUCUAAUGCACCUAAAAUGAGCUUAAAGCUAGCCCUUUGACUUAACUUUUUGAUCUCCAAAAAAAUCUAAAAUUGCCAUAAAUAUAUGGUUUUGCACCUCGAGAUCUGAUUUCAACCCAAUUUGACAAUUGGUCCUCUCUAAGUAUCAAUAUUUGGUAAUUUGAGGUAUUUUUUGCUUAAACCUAUUGUCAACUAUCUCUUUAAUAUGUCUAUAUCUAUUAUUUAUCUCAUUUACUUUGAUUUGAGGCAUUUAUAUCUCUACAAAGCAAAUAGAUGUCAUUCUUUAAAAGACAUUAUUAAGACUAAACCUUUUAUAACCUUCCUAUCAUUUAUCCUUAUUUUUUUAAUACAUCUUUCUACCAUGCUCUUCUAUAAUAACAUUAAUGUUUUUAUUUUUCAUCAUAUAGUUGUAUUACUAUAUAACGAUGGUAACUUCCGGUUAGACUUUAGAGAGCUCCAGUGCAUAGCAACUUGGUAGUAGAGUAUUGAUAAUAGAAAAGAUUAGCAUCAUGAUGUAGAAGCACAACUAGAAUAAGGAGCUAUGGCAGUUGAUUCUUUAUACCAAGACACUUCUAUAUGGUGGAUUAGGAUUCAAUAUCCACCAUCUCCAAUGACCCGCAUCUUGGCAAGAUGAUGGCUUCUAGUUAAUUAUGUUUAGAAGUAAGAAGUUAGAAUUUAACAAAAAAAAAAAAAAAAAAAAAAAAAAUACUAUUUAGAUGAAAGUAUUAAGCAAAGAUAGAAAAUUUUCAUGGAUAAAGUAUUAUAGAUGAUUUUUCUUAGAUGAAUUAUUAUUUAUAUAUAAUAAUUUAUUCUUAGAUAAAUUAUCCUAUUUAUAUGAUUUUUAUGGAGGAUAAAUUUUAAUUACAUAAAAUAAAAUAAAGUAAAAUAACAAUUAAUUGAUAAAAAAAGAAAAAAAUAGAUAUAUGAAUUAAUUUUUAAUGCAUGAAUUUGGAGUGAUUUUUUAUUAUAAGUAUAAGUUGAUAGUGUACUUUUUUUUCUUCAUUACUUGGAUGUUUUAAGUUGAUUAAAGGGUGAUUUAAUUAGGAUUUAAAUAAGAACUACAACUUAUUAAACUUAAAUAAUUAAUUUAUUUGUUGUGAAUUAGAAUAAACUUCUAAUUAAUAGAAGUUUAUUUAUCCUACACUUGGUGCUUUAAGUAGGUUAAGAGUGAAUUGAUUAAAAUUUAAAUAAGAGCUAAAAUUUCAAAGAUUUUUACAAUUAAUUCACUUGAUAUGAAAUAGAAUGAACUUCCAAUUAAUAGAGGUUUAUUUUAGCUCAUAUUAGAUCUUUUUGGUUCUCAAUGAAAUGAUUCUAAGAUUGAUCCUUCAUUAAGAGACUAGAAUCUAUCUCUUAUAAAGAGCCUAUAAGGUUUUCUUUCAUAUUUCUUUCUUUGAUCAAUAAAUUAACUCUCCAUUUGCUCUAAGCACAUAGGUUUGUGUCUUAAGAUCUAGUUUUGACCUUGGUUCUUAAUCGGCUCUCUUUGAAUAUUAAUCUAAAUUUUAUUUGAGUAAUUGUUUUGAAAGUUAUUCUUUAAUUCUACCUAAAUAUACCUAUAAUACUAUUAUUACUAAUCUACCUUGUUUUGCCUUGUUUAUGGUCCUAUAAAAUAAAUGAUUUUUAAAUUUUUUUUUUAUCAAAAGGUAGCUUUAGCUUUAGUUUUUUUUAUUACAUCUUUAAAUUUUCAUAUAUAUAUAUAUAUAUAUAUAUUUAAGGUAAUUUUAUAUUUUAAAUUAUUUUCUCAUAUAAUUCUUCCUUUCGUCUUUUAUCCAAAAUAAUUGUGUUACAAUGCAACCGCAUAGUGAUUCAUGGACAGGUUUAGGGUUUAAUAGCUGUCCAAUGUUGAAGUGCUCAUUAAGAAUAACAUUAAACAGAUAAUUUGUACUUCUGAGGAGAUAUUCAAUUUAAUUUGAUGAUAUCAAUGAUAUUAAAAGAAUUAAUUUAGUAAUGAAUGAAUGAAUUCAGCAAAAUAUAUCUGCAUUUUUUCCAACCUUCACUAAGAGAGGUUUGAAUUCGACCUAGAGAUUCUCUGGGGUGACUACCAAUCUACAGCUACUGAGACUAUGACACCUGACAAAUAUCUAAGCUAGUCGAUGGAUGGUUGAGAUGUCUUUAGUGGAAAAAACAAUGUGAACAUGGAGAUCAGCUUCGAGACCCUUGGUUGAUGCUCAUGUAUGUCUAAUUCGGAUUGAAGUCCUUAAAAUGUUUGAGUAACAAGUGCCAAUCUUUAAAAGACUACAAAUUGCUCAAUUUAUACACAAGAGGUGUUUUAUCAGUGGACUACUAUGUCUUGCAUCAUGACAUACUAUUCUGCCAACGGCAGUGAUGGUGCAAAUGGCCUCAUACUGAUCAUGCAGACCUCACAACUUGUUCCUUUCAUGUCACAUGAAAAUUCUAGGUACCCAGCGGAAUCCUAUCUUGUCCAAUUUUAAUGCCAAAUAAGAAUAUAUUAGUAGGAGCUUCUCAAUGCGGAAGAGGAAAUUUUGAUCAAAGGUACCAGCUAGCCCAUCCUAUAACUCAAAAUAUAGCCUUCGAAUCAAAGCUGCUUCUUGGAUAGUCUAGAGCCACUGCAUCCAUUGCAAAGACAACACGUACAAUAGCCUCUCCUAGCUUGGAGACAAACUCAAUUUUUUUUUGAAGGCAGGCAUCAAUCACAAGCAUUGCUUCUGUUGACGUUAUCAACAACUGAACUGUUCUGUGCAUCCACCGAACAAUCUGCAAACCAUAUAUUACCGCAGCAAGAACUAAAUCUUCAGCGAAAGAAGAAGAGGAGGGCACUUGGCAUACUGAAACUUUUAUUUACUGAAGGACAACAGGAUUUUAUUUCCGAACUACGGGAUCUCAAGGCAGCAUGGUUAAAACUCCAAGAGUUAUACCAAACCCAUACAGUCGCAGACGUCAUGGUUUUGCGGAACAGGUGGUCUGUGGCACGCAUUACGAAGAGCAUAGAUAUGCUCGCCUUCAUGCAACAUAUCUAUGGACUACUCAAAGAGCUACGAGUUGCAAGCCAAUAGAUCAACAAUGCAAUAAUAGUUCAUAAAAUUCUCACCCACUUGCCUGCUUGUUUUGACCAAUUCGUACGUGUUGUUCAAAAUGAAAGAACAAUUCCUUGCAUCGCUGAACUGUUUAGCAGGCUACACUUAGAAGAAACUAACUUAAAACUCCGGCAAGGGUCAUCGCAGGAAGAAGCACUGAUCAUGAAAUGGUCGAUUCUCACACUCUGGGAGGGGAGCGAACAUCAUCUUCCACAGGAGAGACGGCUACAUAUCUACACAUGACCGGAUCUUUUUUUGCAAUUAAUGCGGUGAGCUCGGUCACUUUGCCAAGGUAUGCACUGCCCUGGCGCCACUCUCAUCAAAUUUUCAGAAGCCAUAUGGAUAUCCAACAAAGAGAAAUGUAGAAACCCACGUAGUUGACAAUUUCUUGAGAGACAACCCUCUGCCAUUUGGAAAGGAAGGCAUUGAAGCAGCUCUUGCUGCUCUUUUAGUAGACACCACUUCCAAUCACAACUCGGUGUUAGACUCAAGAGCAUCCCGUUAUUUUGCCAAUAACUCCAUGAUGUUCUCCUCUCUAGAUCAACAUUAGGCCACAUAAACUUCGGCAGCUUAACUCAGAUAAGCAAGCAAGCAGUGAGCAACUUAGAAUUACCAUUGUUAACCAAAACUUGCGAGAUCUGUCAAUUAGGGAAGAAGCACAAUUUUUUUUGGAACAAGCCAAACACUGCGCAUCCAGAACUUUGGAAGUAGUCCAUUCUGAUAUGUGCGAACCACUUUCCAUAUCCUUGCUCGGGGGUGCCAAGUAUUUUCUGACUUAUACGGAUGAUCUCACCCGUAAAACAUGGAUUUACUUUCUGAAACACAAAAAACAAAUCUUUGAGAAGUUUUGCAUCUUUAAGAAUCACGUAGAGGAUCAAACAAGAUGUCGUAUAUUCACCCUCUGAUCUGACAAUGGUGGCGAGUAUAAGUCAAUAGAAUUCUCUGAAUUUUGCGACUUGCAUGGUAUCAGCAGACAGUUUUCCACAUCCCGUACCCCUCAACAGAACGGGGUAUCGAAGCGCAAGAACAGAACGAUACUUGAUAUGGUAAGAAGUAUGUUGUUCGGCAGAAAAUGCCCACCCUCUUUCAGGCCAAGGCGACGAAAACAGCCGUCUACCUGCUCAACAGGUUGCCGACAAAGGAUAACUUGGGAGUAUCUCCGGAUGAAAAAUUCUUUCAGGUACGUCCAAAACUCAACCAUCUCCAAACCUUCGGGUGUCUAGCUUACAUACAUUUGGACAGAACACAACAGAAUAAACUUGAAUCCAAUGCAACUCCAACCAUAUUUCUUGGGUACGAUGACGCGGCAAAAGCCUAUCGCGUGUUCAACCCGCAUUCAAACAAAAUUAUCGUGAGCAGGGACGUAACAUUUGACAAAACUUGACACUUCAACGGACCACUUCCAAAUCAUGGCUACCAAUACAAGGACCAAUCUGCAUGUACAUGGUCACCCAUGCAUGAGAUCCUACAUCCAUCACCGCCACAAGAUUCUAUCACAUACAACAGAUGGUGUUGGUACAUCCUCGCCACCGUUAGACUCUAAAGCUGACACCGAGGAAGCAACACCCACAACGACUAUUGUAGUCGCCAACUCAGCAUCAUCCAGUCCCAAUUCAAAACUCACUCUUGAUAUGGCGCCAAGCCGCCCAUCUCCAAUCAAUCUCAUUCCACAAACCACACCUUUGCUCGAUGACUGAUUCAACAGUAUUGACUCCGACGAUCUCGCGUCACAACAUGACGAAUCGAACCCAGAGGAUAAGGAAAGAACUAAGAAAAGACUGCCAUCUUCCUUUUCACCAGCCACCGCACCUCCAAUACAUGCGAGGCGCAGUACUAAUCCACCAUCCUGGUGGCAAGACUAUUUUGUGGGGAUUGCUUCCUUUGCAGCCAAACUAAAAUCCUUUGAGGAAGCGGCCACUGAUCCUGACUGGAUUGCUACAAUGGAGGAUGAAAUGAAGUCGAUACAUAAAAAUUAGAUUUGGACGCUGGGUUCUUCUUUCCCCAGGCAAGUCAGUAAUAUCAACAAAAUAGAUUUUAAAAUCCAAGCUCAAAUCGGAUGAGACCAUCAACAAGCAAAAAGCCAGGCUCGUUGCUUGCGAAUUCGAACGACAAAGAGUAGCCUUUGAUAAUGUUUUUGCACCAAUCGUGAAAUGGGGAGCAAUCCAAACAGUAGUAGCAUUGGCUGCUCAACAAGACUGGAACUUGGUGCACAUGGAUGUUAAAACUGCCUUCUUUUAUGGUGAAUUGAAGGAAGAGGUUUACAUCUCGCAACUAGAAGGAUUCACUCUAUCCGGAAAAAAAAAGUGUGUCGAUUAAAGAAGACACCAUACGGCUUGCAACAAGCGCCCCGCUCAUGGUAUGAGAAAAUAGAAGUUGGUUACGAAGUCAAGAAUUCACAAAAAGCGCCGCAGACCACAAUCUGUACAUUAUUUGGGAUGAGCCUAACAAAGUUCUCAUCCUACUAUUGUAUGUCGACAACUUGCUAUUUACAAGCAAUCGCCCCCUAUGGAUCGAAUGGUUUUGACAGCAGCUUGAGACAAGGUUCAAAAUGUCAUCACUCGGGGAAGAAGCUAGCAUAAUCUCCUUGGCAUCUGAAUUCCGCUCGGUUCCUUACGGAAUUUUUACGUCACAAACCAAGUACAUCAAACAAUGUUAAAAGCUGUUUGGCCUAAGUGAUAGCCAACUCGUAACCAUGCCCAUGGUAGAACGACCGAAGUUCACUCUUGACACUGGUGAAGAAGAUGUAGAUCCUGCCCUAUACCGAAAGCACGUAGGAAAAUUGAUACAGCUCACCUACAGCCGGUACGACAUCAGCUUAGUUGUAGGCAUUUGUAACAGAUAUGCAGAAAUUCCAACUCCCGCACAUGCAACAAUCAAAAGAAUUUGGAGGUACCUCAACGGUACACGAGAUUAUGGCAUUCUAUUCGUGAGGGGAGAAAAAUCAGUUCUCACAGGGCAUGUUGAUUCGAACUAUGCAGGAGAUACUGAAAAUGGGCAGUCAACAACGGGCUUCAUAUUCCAAUUAAGAAGCAGCCCAAUUUCUUGGCACUCUAAACGACAGACAACGGUAGCACUCUCAAGUACCGAAGCAGAGUAUAGAUCACUUUCAGAUGCUACACGAGAGUUAGUAAGGAUCAACACCCUCUUGACAGAUUUAAGAGUCAAACAGCAUAUCCCCACCACCAUAUUCUGCGACAACGAAAGUGCGAUAAAGUUUGCCUACAUCCCAGUGUUCCAUCAAUGGACAAAACACAUCUCUACGCAUUAUCACUAUUCGAGGGAGAAAAUCGAAAGCAGAGAAAUCCAAGUGUUAUUCAAACCCUCAUACGAACAGUUAGCCAACCUAUUCACAAAACCAUUGGGUAAAAAUUUAUUUGAGAAAUUCAGCAGUAAGCUACACCUGGUGAGUACCAAACUCAUAAGCAACUCAUAGUUAAGAGCUUCAAAAUCAUCGAAACUACAGAACAAGUCACAGAGAAGCAUGCUACAAUCGAGAAAAAAACUUCUUUGCCUCUUAUCUAGUUUGGAAUGAUUUGAACUCUACCCCACUAAAACCUCUCACCUCCCUCGCUCAAUCUCUCCACGUAAGAUAGACGCCAGGCUGAUAUCCGCACGAAACAGAAUAAAAUCGAGACGAACGAUUCAUCAAAGGCUCAUCUCGAUGCAUCUCGCAAAUACCCAACCUGCCUCUAGUCAAAGGUAGUACAACAUCCGAAGAAUCUCCCACAGAAGAACCAUCAUCAGCAGGUCCAAGAAAGAUCCUUCGCUCCACAAAAAAUUUCAGCACAUGAACAAGAUUCAAGAGAAAUACUAAGAAGGUCCAGAAGAUGAGAAAAGAGCGAACUAAACCAUCCUCUCGAAGCUGAUGAACUCUUCCCAUUAUUCUCCGUUCUAGUCAAAUAACACAAUAAAAAGAUCAAGUUACAGUUCAGAGGUUGAGGGAGGGUGCUGACGUUAUCAACAACUGAACUGCAUCCACCGAACGAUCAUCAUCACCCAAGUAUUCAUAGACUUCCUUAACAAGAACUCGGCGGUUACUGCCCUCUUUGUAUUUAAACGAUUGUAUCAACACAAAACACAAGUAGAAUGUAGAGCACAUUAACAAGUCCAACAGCUUCUGCAUCUUUGUAAGUCUUAUGCCUUCAAUCUUAGGUAUGCAGAGUGUCUCGAUCCAGAAGACCCCGCCAGGAUCUCCCUAGCCGUCUAGAUGAUAUCCAUCGUGCUUUCCACCUAACCAUAGCGUAUUACGUGGCUCGGGUAGAGAGAACAUGUUGAAGAUUAACAAGUACUAGAGCUCACGCAGGAACCAUAAUUUGAAAUCACACGUGGAUAACUUUUCACUUUUCCAAUGUCCACCAUUUGUUCUCCAGCAACCACGAGAUUGAAAUGAGUAGGAUUCCCUCCAACAGCAACGGGUAUCCUCAAACAUCUGACCGUAAAGCAUAACAGCCACAAAAUGAUUUAACAGACUUUCUCAACAAAAGACAGCU
Molecule: long non-coding RNA, 54716 nt
Filed under: Physcomitrium patens
Lineage: Eukaryota; Viridiplantae; Streptophyta; Bryopsida; Funariales; Funariaceae
Description: long non-coding RNA (PPAT_LNC007855)
Source: RNAcentral